This 71295-nucleotide long non-coding RNA is filed under the name Setaria italica (foxtail millet). Its description in RNAcentral is "long non-coding RNA (SITA_LNC003510)". The record is from RNAcentral. Lineage: Eukaryota; Viridiplantae; Streptophyta; Magnoliopsida; Poales; Poaceae.
AACGAACUGAUUCUGUCUGGAAACAAGUUCUCAGGCACCAUACCAGCUAGUGUUGGGAACUGUAUAUCGUUGGUAAAGCUGCUGCUCGAUAACAACUUAUUAGAAGGAAGCAUACCUCAAUCUCUGAAGAACUUAAAAGGUCUUGCAUUACUGAACCUAACAAUGAAUAAGCUAUCUGGUAGUAUUCCUGAUGCCCUUGCUAGCAUUGGCGACCUGCAACAACUGUAUCUUGCACACAACAACUUGUCAGGUUCCAUCCCCAAAGUUCUACAGAAUUUGACAUUGUUGGCAAAACUGGAUUUGUCCUUCAAUGAUUUGCAAGGCGAAGUGCCAAAAAGGGGUCCUUUUGCAAAUGCAACUCACUUGUCAAUUGAUGGAAAUGAUGAGCUUUGUGGUGGAAACCCUCAACUUCACUUAGCUCCGUGCUUCACAGCUGCUGCGGGGAAGAACAGAAGGCGAAUGUCAAGGUCAGUUAUGGUCACCGUAGCGUCAAUCUGCGCACUUCUAUUCUUAGGUUUAGUAGUUUUUCUUAUCCAUUUGAUCCACAAGACGCUCAGACAAGGAAAGGAAAAUCAACUCAUUCCCACAGUAAUUGAUGAACAGCACGAAAGGGUUUCAUAUCAAGCAUUAGCAAAUGGGACUGACCAUUUUUCGGAGGUUAAUCUGCUCGGACAAGGAAGCUAUGGUGCAGUUUAUAAGUGCACUUUACAUGACAAGGGAAUUACCGCAGCUGUAAAGGUAUUCAACGUACGGCAAUCUGGGUCUACUAGAAGUUUUGUGGCUGAAUGUGAGGCACUGCGAAGGGUGCGCCACCGAUGUCUCAUAAAGAUCAUCACCUGUUGCUUAAGCAUUGAUCACCAAGGCCAAGAAUUCAAGGCACUGGUUUUUGAGUUCAUGCCCAAUGGUAACCUAAAUGAUUGGCUGCAUCCAGCAUCCAAAAUACAGAGUCUGAGCAAUACACUCAGCUUAGCUCAGAGACUAGACAUUGCGGUAGAUAUCAUGGAUGCUCUGGAUUAUCUUCACAAUCAGUGUCAACCGCCUAUUAUCCAUUGUGAUCUCAAACCAAGUAACAUCCUCCUUGCCGAAGAUAUGAGUGCUCGGGUUGGAGAUUUCGGCAUAUCAAAAAUCCUUCCUGACGACACUAGCAAAACUCUGCUGAAUUCAGUUAGCUUCACUGGACUAAGAGGUUCCAUCGGAUAUGUCGCUCCAGGUAACAGAAACUAACACUGAUAUUGCUAUGUUCAGUUUUUAACUUCCAUUUUGCCAAGUCCAGUUAUCUCGGCAUGCACGUUGAUAAGUAGCUUGCCAUGAAUCCACUGACCAAAUAGUGUCUGAAAUCUGAAUUGACUGCAGAGUACGGCGAGGGUCGCGCUGUCUCAACUCUUGGAGAUGUUUACAGCCUCGGCAUACUGUUGCUUGAGAUGUUCACCGGGAUGAGCCCUACUGACGACAUGUUCAAAGGCUCCUUGGACCUUCAUAAGUUCGCCGAGGCCGCUCUCCCCGACAGAGCCUUGGAGGUAGCCGACCCGGCAAUCUGGUUUCAUGAAGAAGCAAAGGGCGAAGACCCUGCCACGGUGAGAAGCAGAAGCGAGAGGUGCUUGGCUUCAGUGGUCGGGCUUGGCGUGUCCUGCUCAAAGCAGCUGCCAAGGGAGCGGACGGCGAUGCGGGAUGCUGCCGCUGAGAUGCGUGCGAUCAGAGAUGCCUUCCUGGUUCAAUGUGCAACAGAGACUUGGCCUGCAGUCGGCACCACCGGCCUUGGGAGCGCAGACAGUUGAAUGGUGGACGGAGCUACGGUCUCUUGAUGAACCAAGGAGCACCGGACUAGCAACUCUGCAACUAACAGAGUGGAGAAAGCGCCCCUUAAUGAAAAGAAAAACAGCCGGUGCAAGGCUUUAUAAAAAGAAUGUGACAGCCACUGCGUGUAUCCGAGAGACUUAUCUAAUCUACCGAGGAUUGUUGGGUAGGGAUGCGUAUAGAUUAUGCACGUGCUCCCUCCGUCCCAAAAUAAAUGCACAUCUCGCUUUUCGAGGAGUCAAACUUCUAAGUUUGACUAAAAUUUAUAAAAAAAUGUACUACUAUUUAUAAUGUAUAAUAAAUAUCAUUAGAUUGGGCGUUGGAUAUACUUUCCUAAUAUAUUUAUUUGAAGAUGCAAAUGAUGAUACUAUUUUCUUUAUUCUUAGUCAAACUUAAAAAUGUUUGACUCUUCGAGAAGUGAGAUGUGUGUUUAUUUUGGGAUGGAGGGAGUACCCGUCACGGGGAUUAGUCACGAUAUAAGUAGGGACUAGCAAGCACCAAAAUCCCAUUCACUGCCCUUCGAUCGCUCAAAUAAAACAAACCAUUGCAUAUGGUGGCGAUGCGCUUGCGGGCCUUUUUCCAACCUUUCUGCUGUCGUGGGUCUUGAACUCGCAUGGAACAGUUUUAGUGAAAGCGUGCCCUUCAAUUUUGGGAAGAUUGCGAAGCCUCAUUUACCUGUCCUUAGUGACAAUAAGUUAGGAUCCAAUGAUAAGGACGGAUUGGAAUUCAUCACCAUGCUGGCAAACUGCAGCCAGCUUCAGCAACUGGCUUUUGACAAUAAUUCAUUCAUCGGGGAACUUCCUAGCUCAAUUGCAAAUCUAUCGACAACACACCAAUUACUCUGUAUAGGAAACAAUUGGAUUUCGGGAUUUAUUCCAUCCAGCAUAGGUAAUUUGCUUGGUCUAGAACUGCUUGCGUUGGCAAAUACUUUCAUAUCCGGAGUGAUUCCAGAUAGCAUUGGUCGCCUAGAAGACAUGUCCGUGUUAGGCAUUUACUACGCUAGCUUGUCAGGCAUCAUACCUUCGUCACAAGGAAACCUUACACAGUUGAAAACUCUCUAUGCGUACGAUAGCAACUUCGAGGGUCCAAUUCCAGCAAGUGGGGGAACUUAAAGAAUGUUGUUGUUCUUGAUCUCUCAACGAAAGUGUGUAACCCGCUAAGAUUUCGUGUCGAAGCAAAGCAUAAACCUCUCUUAAGACUGCAAAGCUAUCAUAGAGCAGAUCAGUCUAAGACAAUGUAGAACUUAGUCAAAUUUUAUUUAUAAACAUUCAAGUACAAUUUAUGCAAAGUAAAUUUGAAAAUAAAGUAUACGUAAACAUCUAAGCGCAUAGCUUUAUGAUUUGAGUUGAACUAACCAAAUAUAAUUGAAAAACACAUUUAUAUUUAUAUUAAGUCAAAUUAACAUAUAAUUAUGAAAGCUCGAGAUAUAACUUAUGGAGCCUUUAUUUAGAAAACAAAUUGAAUAAACAUUAAUCAAUUUAAGUUUAAUUAUGAACCACCAUGUUGCAUCUCUCAUUGACUUUUAAUUGAAAGAGUUAUUUAAAUAAGCAUUAACUAAUUUAGCAUUUAUUAUGAAAAGCAGUUAUAACACUAAGUAGCUUUUAAUUAAAGAAGACAUGUUUAACAUGCAUUAAUCAGAUUAAUAUUAAAUUUAUUUUAAAAACAUGCAUGAUGGAAAGAUCAGUACUAACAUGUAAUUUGUGUUAUUACAAACCUAACUCAAUAAGAACAGAUAUAAACGGAGCUGUAACGACCAGUCUAUGGGUUAAACAAGGUUGCAGGGCCUAAUCAUGAUUAACGGAAGGUUAUUGGGGCUAGCAAGGAAGAUUUGCAAGACACUGGAAUAGAGCUCCCCAUUAGGUCAAAGCAUAGGGCGAUUGCGAAAUCAAGAACUCGAAGGUGAUCGCGAGAACACGAAGGACACGAAGGUUUUAGAUAGGUUCGGGCCUCCGGAGAGUAAUACCCUACGUCCUGUAUGCUAGUUUGUAUUGCUUGAGAUUGAUCUGAUUGUUGGGAUACCCUCGGGGGUGCCCUUGGCCGCCUUAUAUAGGCUGACGACCAAGAGUUAAAAGUCAGUUUGAAUCUAAUCUACUCGGUAGUUACAUGGAAAGUAAUCUGAGUUGGACUACAGUACACGUUCCAUGAUAUCCAGGCAGAUUUGAACUGUCUUGUUGCCUUGACUUGCACUCCAAGUAACUUCAUGUCCUCGGCCCGCACGCCCUAGUCGGGCGGGCCCUACUUGUCAGUCCGGCCAGUAUCCUGGUCGGUCGGGGCCCAUGGGGUACCCAUAUCCCUCAAGCCCCCGAGCAUUGUGUAGGUGAAGAGUAACUUGAGGUCACCACAGUGAAACUUGAAAUGAAGUCGGCUGAAGCUACGAAGACAUCAUGGCGACGGAGAGGCUGCACAGUGCUCAAAAGAAGAAAUUCUGAGCAAACGCAGAGCCAACGCGUAGAGCGAAGACGAGUGCCGAGUUGAUGGAUGCUGGCAUUCAGCAGUCGGAGCAAAGGUUAUGGAGGGCCUCGCAAAACGCACUCUGUAGGAGUAGCCCCCGAGCAUUAAAGUGAUUAAGAUAAUCGGUACAAUAGUCAAAGAAGAAAAAGUUAUCCCCUAAAGUAGAUCCUAGUGCUCGAACAUAAGGAUGGGUGAAGCCAUGGAGGCCCGCCAACCAGAAGUAGGCACCCAGACCCAAGAAUGAGGACUAGCGGGACCGUGUAGCCACGUUGACCUGAAAUAGGCGCCCAACCCCUGAGGACGAGGACUAGCGGAGCCACGGAGGCAUGCCGACCUGAAGUAGGCACGCAACCCCUGAGGACGAGAACUGGAGGAGCCAUGAAGACACGCCGACUUGAAAUAGACGCCAAGCCCCUGAGGAUGAGGACCAGUGGCGCCACGGAGGCACGCCAGCCAGAAUUAGGCAUCCAACCCCCGAGGAUGAGCAUGAGGACUGGUGGAAGCACGUCGAGGUGCCUCCCGCCUCGAGCCGAGGCAGAGAGGUCAGUCGGGCGACGGGAGGCACAUGAGUCAUCUAUGGCGCGCAACCGCCGAGCCUGGGAGCCGGACGAGUUGCAGAAGCAUGCCAAGUCGCCUCCCGCGGCGAGCUAGAGAGGUUUGCUGGGCGACGGGAGGCACGCCAAGUCAUCUGCAGUGCCCAGCCCUCAAGCCUUAGGGCCGGCUGAGCCAUAGAAGCAUGCCAAGCCGCCUCCCGCCCCGAGCCAGAGAGGUCGGCCGGGUGACGAGAGGCACGUCGAGUCAUCUGCGGCGCCCAGCCCCCGAGCCUAGGAGCCAGACAAGUCAUAGAAGCAUGCCAAGUUGCCUCCCAUCCCGAGCUAGAGAGGUCGGCCGCGUGACGGGAGGCACGCCGAGUAGUUUUUGAGCUAUAAAAGGACAAUACAAUCAUCAUGUAGCAUAGUGUAGAUCGUUUAAUCAUUGAACAACUCGGAAGUUUAAUUCACUAUAUAAGUAAACUCUUGCGCAUCCUGCUCUUGUAGGCUAAGUAAUUUCCCCAGGUAGUUAGCCUGUUACGUUUAAGCACCUAGCCCUACUGACCACUGCUCACAGAGAUGACGGUUUAUCUCAAGCUAUAGCGCUGGGGCUGACCUGAUGCUUGCAUAUAGGAGACGCGCAGGAUGAGUUAAGGUUUUACGGAUUAAGGCAUGUGCUACCCGAGUACUUUAGCAACUGUUAACAGGGACAGACAAGUUGCAAAGCAGCCGGAACUGUGCGGAAAAGCACCAGCAUGAGCUAGGCACCCAUGGGGUGUAACCCCUGGCCGCCCGUGUAGUGGACGGACCAAGUUGUAUAAACAGUUAGGGUGCGACCAAGGUGGUGGGCAAAAGUCACGGAGACAUAGGAGAGCUGAGGCGGUCGACGAAAGUCACAGGAACAUGGAGGAGCCGAGGCUUAUGUAGGUAUACGGAAGCCAUAAAAUAUUUAAUUGUAAAUAAGACUUAGCUUGAUUCGUGAUCGAGUCGAAGAACCCGCAUGUCGUCUUUGCGUUUAGGCUUAGAAGCCCCUGAGCGUGGUCAGCGGAUAGUUGUUGGUGAAGCAAACUAGUAGGGCUCCAUGCCCGACUAAUUCGUGUCAAGUCCGAGUUGUUGGAGUUGUUAGUGGCAAGUCUGUGGCUGCGAUCGUGGUAUGCUGCUGCCAAGUCGAUGCGGCCAUCGGGUCGUGGCUGGCUGGCCGCCACGCUCGCAAUACAGCAUGCCUGGGUUGUGCUGCCAAACCAAAGGUGCAUGUACAUCUUUCCGAACCUCGUAAGGAAGCCCUCAGGUAUUAAGGAAAUCUAUACCUAAUAUUAAAGUGCGGUUGUUUGUUCCAACCAUUAUGGUUGUUUUGCAAAAAAGUCCCUCAACUUUUUCGUAAUCAGCUCGCAGUCCUUGGAAUAUGUCUUGAUGAUUUUGCAAAAAGGUCCCCAAACUUUACUGCAAUUGGCCGUCGAAGCUCCCGCAGCAUGCACCUACGCCACGUGCGGUGCGGACGAGUGUGCUGGCGGUGGCUGCAAGCUCCUCACCACAGCGGGGACCAGGUCGAGCAGCGACAGCGAUGACGGAGGGGAGUAGUCCGCAUCCGCGUGCCGUGCUUCCAUCGUCGGGCAAGCUGUGGCGGCGGUGGAGAGGGAAAGUGAGUACAUCGGCGUGUGGCAGCAGUCGUGGGGCAGUUUGGCGGCGGAGAUCCAUGACCCGCACCUCGCUGUGCGCAAGUGGCUCAGCACCUUGGACACCAUUGAGGACGCCACACACGUCUAUGAUGUCGCCGCCAUCGAGUUCCGAGGCCACCACGCCAAGCUCAACUUCCCCGACGACAUGGUCCCCGUGCCCGCACCUUCUAGGGUGCCCACCUCUACAUACCACUACCACCACCACCUGCCGCAGCCGCUGCCCAAGAGUCUGCACAAGACCUGCGGGUCGAACGCAUCGUCGUCGGUGCACAUGGCUCCUGGAUGACGGCAGCUUCUUGUCACCCAUGCCAUGAUCGUCACAUUCUCCUCUUGUUUUCACUUUCGUUGCUUAGCGGAUAAUGGUGGUCAGCUGCCCUUUGGUCUGUCGUCAAUCACCAGCCAUCCAUCGCUUUCAUAUGGUUUUACACUAGCUUUUGGGCUUUGACCACACCUCCACACCCAUAAAGUGGAGUGAUGUUGAUCUACUGCCGCUCGCCCUGGCGUGCAACUACUGUCGCUCACCCUAGCACAUGGCUACUCACUCGGGCUGCGUGCCCUACCCGCCACCUGGACCUAAGAGGUGAAGGAGAGAGGAGGAAGGGGGAAGGAAAUAAGGAGCCGAGUGCCUCUUUGCAGUCAACCAAGUAGAUCCAUGUGCCAGCGAAGGCAUGGCGCCAGCAAGGGGGGGGGGGCGCAGCAGCAGUCGGCAGGCAACGCAAAUUGGGGCAGAGGUUGGGACCUCACACCCCCCCUCUCAAUGACGUCCAUCCCCUUAAGAUCCGGAACUAAAGCCUCCACAUCUAGCAAUUGGGGGCUCAAUUUUGCACUUGAUUGAAAUGAUUUGGAGUGGAUUAUGGAAGGGAAGUGGAUGGAAAUGAGAAGAGGAGGAGAACGCACUCCUGCUCAUGGCGGCCAGAGGCGUUGUGGCCUAGCGCUCGAAGCAGGAAUGAGGCUAGGCACAGGAAGGACGAGCGCUUGCCUGGGCGAUGGUGAGGAUGGCAAGAUGCGCAGCGCCUGGAUGACGGCGAAGAUGGGGCUAGAUGCGGGUGGCGCUGAUGGAUGAAGAGGCAUCGACUGGCUAGAUGACGAUGAGUACGGGGGAAAUCGAAUGAAUGGAUGGAGCGGAGGUUGAGCGGUGAUUUUUUUUAUUUCCAUAUGUGGGUCCCACAUAAUAAACAUAUGGCAUCAAAUCACCCAUAAAUAUCUUCUACUACUAUACUGAGACAACGCACCAACAUAUGGUGAACCGAAGCCACCGUAUUACGAACAAGCGAAUAAUAACGUGAGAAUAAGUAAGGACCUGUAGCAACGCACGGACAUUUCUGCUAGUGAGAAAAAAAAUUGUUAUCUACCGCAGUAAGCACCGAGCAACAUAGGAGAUCUACUGGAUGGAAUAGAUUAAAUAAUAAAGGGAAGGGAGAAUUGUUUCCUUUUUUUUCCGUGGCAGAUCCGACAUGUCUGCAUGCAACAAGUUGAGGCCGACGUGUCGUGCUAAAUCAAUUGGAUCGGACUGGGGCUGGAUCAGGCGAGCUUGGCUGUGGCCGGGAUGAGGCCAAUAAGGGCGCCGCCCUUGACCUUGGCCUCCUGCGUCUCGUGGAUCUUCUGCAUCUAGAGCAUCCGCUCCAUGACAAGCUUGUACUGGCACUUCUCUUAGGCGUGGUGCUCAGGCUGGCACUUCCAGGGGAGGUAGAACUCGGAGGUGCACGCACUGGUUGUGGUAGGCGAGCGGCACCUGGGCCACCGCCAUCUCCACCUGCGUGAUGAUCUAGGGCUUCAAGGAGCCGAACUGCACACCGACCGUUGCUGCCGCCUCCAUCUGUCACUUUCUUCCCGUCUCUCUCACCGGCGAGGUCGUUCCAUCGAUAGAUGGGCAUUGCGGGUUUGGUGCGGUGUGGGUAGGUGGGGUGCAGCGAGGACAUGAGGAACCCUCUCGGAGAGAGAGAUUGCCAAUCUACUGGGCAAGUGGCAUGAUGAUCCUUGGAUAGAGAACUUGCUCCUCCGGAGUAAAUCCGACAGAUGCCGAGCUGGCGGCAGGCAUCGAGUCGAAGUCCACCGACAUGCUCCCGAAGCAGAGCUGGAUUGGGUUGGCGAGGAAGUCCUUCAUGCUCUCGGAAAAAACAAUGUCGGGACGGGAUGCCAUCGAGCUCGCUAGGGAGGAUCUCACAAUCAUCCCUACCUGGCAUGCCAACUGUUGGAUUUAUAAGCCUGAUAGUCCACCAGGGGGUUACCCAAGUAGUUGAUUUCUAGGUGAGGGCGAUUGUGAAACCAAGAACUCGAAGGUGAUUGCGAGAACACGAAGGGACACGAAGAUUUUAGAUAGGUUCGGGCCUCCGAAGAGUAAUACCCUACGUCCUGUAUGCUGGUUUGUAUUGCUUGAGAUUGAUAUGAUUGUUGGGAUACUCUUGGGGGUGCCCUUGGCCGCUUUAUAUAGGCUGAUGACCAAGAGUUACAAGUCGGUUUGAAUCUAAUCUACUCGGUAAUUAGAUGGAAAGUAAUCUGAGUCGGACUACAAUACGCGUUCCAUGAUAUCCAGGUAGAUUUGAACUGUCUUGUUGCUUUGACGUGCACUCCAAGUAACUUCAUGUCCUUAGCCCGCACGCCUUAGUCGGGUGGGCCCUAGUUGUUAGGUCUGACCAGUAUCCUGAGGUACCCAUAUCUCUCACCUUGGUGCUCCGGCGAUUAGGGUCAACGGCGAGGAUGGGGAUUGGAAGAGGAGAUCAAGGGGACUUUAUGGAGAUGCUCACCGGUGGUGAGGUGGACGGAUUCCAGCCAGAAUUUGGCUGGCGGUGGAAGAACACGACAGGUUGCUCAGGUCUUCGCGAGUGAUGGUACUCCAGCAGUGGAGCGGCGACGAAGACUAGUGGCAGAGCAGCUCCUCGACAUCAUGGAGCUCCCUAAGGCUCUAGCUUGCUCCAAUGGUCGACGGGCAUAGCGAAUUGGCCAGAGAAGGCUGGUAGCGGCUCCUAGCUUCGGUGGAUGUGGGGGAUGGCGGCGCUUGUGGAGGAUGGCGGUGCUUGUGCAAGCUGGGAAGAGUGGCGGCGCGAGGCAGGGUAGCAGCAGGGGCACUGUCUCGACUUUUAUAGGCGCGUGGGUCCGCGCCUACCUUGGCACGCAUGCUGAGGUUCGGCGGUGGCGACGACCAACUGCAGCUACGCUUGGCCUCAACCCGUUGGUGGCCGAUGGGCCUAGCGGACCUAGCCGAGCCAUCAGCUGGGCUGGGUCGGUGAGGGUCGAGCCGCAAAGACUUGGCCCGAUUGAUUAGGAUUUUCCUUUUUUUUAGAAAUGAUUUCUUGUAAAAGAAAAAUCCAGAAAAAUUCUAUAUAAUUAAUUUAAGCAACGAAAAAACCCUAAAAAUCCAAAAAUUCCAGGAAAAAUCCUAGAGAUAGUUUGGGAAUGAGGAGUACAAAUAAAAUACUUGGAGCUCAUGAAAAGGAUUCUAGAACCUUCCAAAAAUUGGAUUUAGCUCUAGAAAAAAGAGAAUAAAUCUUAGAAAAAUCUUGAAAUUCUCAUAAGAACCUAAUGGGCAUCUAAACGCAUUCCAAAACCUUUGCACUUAUGAAAUACCAAGAUGCAUCGGCAUGAAUGCAACACAUACAUAGAACUAUUAUAUUUAAUUCAGAAAAACACUCAAUUAUUUUCCUAUACUAAAUUUCCUGUCAGGAAAAUAAAUGUUGGAAAAAUUUUAAAAUUAUGAGAAAAUCAUUGUUUAAUUAUUAUUUUUAAUCACAUCCUGAAAUUUCAAAAAUUUUAAGGUGUGACAGAUACCCUCAGGUUUACAGAAUUUGACAUCCAUGUGCAAAUUGGAUCUAUCCUUCAAUGAUUCUUUGGAUUUGCACAGUUUUCAGAUAUUUACUGGAAGGAGCCCAACGGAUGAGAUAUUCAAUGAUUCUUUGGAUUUGCACAGUUUUCAGAGAAUGCUCUUCCAGAGAGAAUAUGGGAUAUAGUUGAUCCGACAAUAUGGAUGCACACAGAUGCCUAUAACAGCACUAUGAGAAGUGGAAUUAAGAAUUGCUUGCUUUCUGUUGUUUCUCUUGGAAUAUCAUGCUCAAAGAAACAACCUAGGGAGCAGAUCCCGAUUCAGGAUGCAGCCAUUGAGAUGCACGCUAUUAGAGAUUCGUAUCUCAAGUUUGCCAGAUCUCUUUUGGUGGAGCAUGGAGUAGUAGCAACAACUCACAGUGAUUUCCCACAACAGUGAAUACAUAGGACUGAAAAUGGGCAAGAUGUCCGCAGGUGAUCAGUUUACCUGAAAUAACUGAAGAUGUAUGAAGCUUCAGCUUUAUAAUUCGUCCAUGCAUUUGUUUGCAUCAGAUAUAUGGAAGUAUAAAAUAAGUUUAGAAAAUGUUUCAAAAUAGAUUAGAUCAAGAGGUUUUUACUUGUCGUCUGUAUGGCACAUUUGUUUAGAGAAUUCAGUAAUAUGUAUGAUUCAUAAUACAAUCAAUGCUCUGCAAAUUUCAGAUAGCACAAUUGGAAUAAAAAGCUCAUUCAUUGAUUAUGUUGCUCUAGGUGACUCAACUUAUUGUGAUGUUCACUGUAGAUUUCUCCAUGGUCCAAACGACCUUUGUGAUCAGUUAUGUUUAUGCAUUUUGUAGACUUGUAAAGUCUUUCCCUAACCUGCUGACAUAUCAGCUGGAGCAGAGCACUCUGCCGUUCUGCGCCACUUGCCUCUAGGCAGCGCUUGCCGCUUGGUGGCUGCCGUGGCGACGGGCGGCAUCCGUAAUUGCUCUAUUGGAGGCUGAGGGGCACAAUUACGUCUUGGAGUCGCCACCGCGCGACCUUCGGAGCUCGCCCAUGCCUCAUCGGUACGAGCUCAGUCCCGCGGUGAAUGGCGCGCGCAUCUGGGGUUCCGUCAGCUGCAGGUGCAGAUGGGUGGAGAGCUUAACAGCACUAGGUCUUCAGAAGAUGUUGGGUGGGCUGGAUGGGGCUUUGCGGCUCUGAAUGGCGAGGCGGGCAGGGACGACGGCGGCAGCGGCAGGCGGCGGCACUGGACGCGUUGGGGUGGAGACGACCCGGACCAGGGAGCAUUUUUGAAAAUAGUCGGAUCGCGAUCCUAAUUAGGAAAUGUGAGAAGGGGUGCACCAAAUAUGGGAUGAGAUGGAGAGGAGCGGAUCAGGCCCAGAUCAGCGAUCAUUUACUAUUAGGGCCCGUUUGUUUGGCAGGAAUUGGGCUGAAUUGGAAUUACUUUCCUAGGCCGACCUGUUUGGCUGCACAUGGAAUUGGAAAUCGUCUUUCCGGUGAUUUUCACGGGCUGAUUUUCUUACUUGCGACACAUUCCGGGCCUAAGACAAAGAAAUCAAUUCCAUCCGACUUGCUUCCCCUCCCGACUCGCCUCCCUUCCCCGACACCGCGCCACCUCCCUCUCCCAACUCCCCUCCAUCCCGACGCCGCACCCCCUCCUCCACCGCCUCCUCCGGCGCCCCCUCCUCACCUCCCCCUGACUCGCCUCACCCCGUGCUGCCGCCGCCCUCGACUCUGACUCCCCGAGCGCUGCGCCGCCGCCUCUCGCGCCGCCGCCCCUCGCGACCACCUUCUCGACGGCGAGAUAAACCUCCUCCAGUUUCCCUCCUCCAUCUCGUUCUCCGGCUCACCCCUUCCUUUUUCUUCCUCACCGGCUCACCCCUUCCCCUUGAACAAUCCGCAGAUCUGCGGGGGAGGUGCCACCGGCAAGCAGGCUGGGAGCAGCUGCAACGGCGGCCGCCCCAUCCACGUCUCUACGGACGGCAUCUUCAACAUUCCGACCACGCGCGUGCUCUCCACUAGCAAAGAAGCUGUACGUCCCAAUCCCUUCUGCCCAUCCCCUUUGCUACUCGAGCCAGCAAAGAAACUACUAGUUAGUUGCAUCAGAUUCUCACUGUCAAAUUGGAAGGCCAUUGCUCUUGCUCCUACUAGUAUACCGCACUUUCCACAAAAUGCGACACACGAAUUUGUUAAUUUUGCCGUAAUUCUGCUAUCAAAUCAAAAGGCCAAUCCUCUUGCUCUAAACAGUUUCUGCAAUUUCGUGCACUAUCGAUUGCUAGUGCUAAUUACAUGGAGGGCCUUUGGUACUUCUCUGCUAAUGCUAAUUAUAUGUGACAUGCUCUGAGAUUCUUCAUACUGUGUGCUGCCAUUAGUUUAAAUUUGGUAGAAGCUGAAAUCUCUUCGUAGAUCAUUAUGUGCUGCCAUUCUGAUAUCCUGUGGAGUUGCAUAUCAACUACUAGUGCUAGCAUUUAGUUUUAUCUGUCACAGCAGUUAAGCAUCAGUCAGCCCUUAUCUAGCAUUUAGUUGGUGCAGCUGUGCAAGUGAUGUUCCUAUUGUUUUUAAUUUUUGUCUUCUGCAGCAUUUUGCAGGCUGUCUAUGUUUCUGCUUAGUUUCGUGAAAUAGUGUAGCAUUUUGAUGAUAAAUUAAAACAUUCCUUUUUGCAUAUGUUUAGAUGCCUGACAGCAACAUAGACUUGGUUAAUACAGGCAUAGAGCAAAUGAGAGAGAGCGUAGGAAGAAGAGAAAAAGAGUGGCUAUUUUAUUUAUUUCUGCUGUCAUGAGCAUGAUUGUGCACUAAUGCGUAAGAGACCUAGGCGUAUCGUUGAUCCGGAUGAAGUGGCUGAGAGAAAUGUUGCUAGUCGGAAACAAAUGCCAAGGAAUCUGUACUAAGGAUCAAAUAUUUUUUGCUAUGACAGUUUGCGCCUAAUUAAGAGAUCAUUUUCUGACCUAUGUGCCAUCUUACGUGAUAGGUGCGGUAUGUGUGAUACUGUCGGUAGAAGAAAAUGUGGCUAUCUUUUUGCUUAUAGUGGGCCAUGGCACUAAGAUGAGGAUGAUUCGUAGCUCAUAUAGGUGGUCGCUCGAGCCAAUCUACCAUCAUUUCAAUGAGGUGUUGAGAGGUGUUCUAUCAUUAUGCCAUGAAUUUAUCAAGCUUCUUGAUCCAUCAGCUGUAGAACCUGAGGAUUCCAAGUGGAAGUGGUUUGAAGAUUGCCUUGGAGCAUUAGAUGGUACACAUAUUGACAUUUUGGUGCCUUUGGCUGACCAAGGGAGGUAUAGGAAUAGGAAGCAACAGAUUACCACCAAUAUUUUGAGGGUUUGUGAUCAUCACAUGAAAUUUAUUUACAUCUUAGCAGGAUGGGAAGGAUCGGCUUUAGAUUCACGUGUGCUACGUGAUGCAAUGUCUCGGGACGAUGCAUUUCUUAUUCCAAGUGGGAAAUACUAUCUUGUAGAUGCUGGAUACACCAAUGGACCGGGCUUUCUUGCUCCAUAUCGAUCCACUCGCUACCACUUGAAUGAGUGGGCUGCUCAAGGGCAUAACCCAUCCACUCCCAAAGAACUAUUCAAUUCGCGCCAUUCAACUGCUAGAAAUGUGAUAGAGAGAACAUUUGGGCUAUUAAAGAUGAGGUGGGCUAUACUAAGAAGCAACUCAUAUUUUAACUUACAAAAUCGGGUAUUCCGUAGUUAGUAACCUAGCUUGAAAUUCACCUCUGAAUGACCCUAGCAUGUAACUCAUUUCUACUAAUUUUUUGCAGAUUAGGAUCAUUAAUGCUUGUUGCAUAUUGCACAACUUUGUAAUUGAUAGACAAAGAGAUAUAGAUGACUUACUUAUAUACACCAAGUUGAUCAAGUAAUAUAUGUUGAACCUCAUGAAGUUCAAAGUGAAGUGGGCAUGAUUAGCAAUGUUCAAUCAUCAAAUGAAUGGAGCAAUUUUAGGGAUACCAAAGCUAACCAAAUGUUUGCUGAUUACCAAGCGAGACGUGGUCAAUGUAUGAUAAAUUCUAUCAUCAAUGCAUGCUCAAAUUUAUGAUAUUUGGUGUUGCUCCUUAAUAUUUUACUGAUAACCUUUGUGAACUUUUUUCUUGUAGAAUAUGGAGAAGGGCAAGAAGUCAGUCUCGAGCAGGGGUUACAUUUGUUGGAAUGACGACAUGAAUAAGGCUCUUCUUGACACAUUUGUGGAGUACUAUAACAAGGGUGACACAUGCCAAAAUGGGUGGAAGUCUCAUGUCUAUACAACUUCUAUCAAGAAUAUCCGAGAAAAGUGUAAUGUGGAUAUCACAAAAGACAACAUCAUGGCAAGGAACAAGACCUUUGACAAACACUACACUAUCAUCAAUGGUAUGUUGGAAUCAAGUGGAUUUGGUUGGGAUUGGAACAAAAAUAAAAUAUCUGUUGAUAGUGAUUCUGUAUGGGAAGAAUAUGUGACGGUAAGUUUCAAAAACCACUGAUUUACUUGCUUAACUUGCUUCUCUUUACAAGCAGUUUUCAUUUUGUUAGACACAAUCACAUAUGAGGUUAUCCUUAUUUUACACAUGGUAUGGUAUGAAUCUACUAGGUGGGCUUGGCAUAUAAUUGAAAGAUUUUUUGUACUCUAUCUAAAGUGGCAAUGAUUGUUUCAUCAAAACUUAUUGUUCCUGAAAACUUAUUGGCAUAUAAUUGAAAGUUUCUAUCUAUUGUUGAAAACAGUGUGUAGUGAAUUAUGUUCGUUACCUGUGUUCCUAAACAAUUAUGUAUGCAUCCUUGUCCCUGUAUGUUUUGUUACUUUUUUUAUUGAUAGUGUGGCAUCUUUAGGUUGUUCUUGAAAUGAAAGUAUACUUUCACUGCACAAGAAUUUAUUGGCCAGAAUAGUGGCUUGUAUUGGUCAGAUCCUAGUCAGCAAGUGCACGUCUCCUACAAGGCUGAGAAUCUUGCGUGAGGAAACUAGAGAGACCACUAGCAUGAACAAUGCCUCUCCAUACUCUGCAAUUUUUGAACUUUAGAUGCACCUGUCUCUUUGCUAGAAUUGCAAAUUAAGUAUGAAACAUGAAUCGACAUCAUUUAGUAUUGUUGUGCAGCACCAUACAAUGGUUUUGUGGUUUUGUGGAUUCUAGAAAAGGAUUCUCACAAAUGAUAGUUGCCAGUUAUACCUUUUGUUGCCAGUUCUACAAAAGGAGCCAUGGAUGUGUUUCAAUUUGUAGAUAUUCAUUGUGCAAAAUGCGACUAGAGCUUCUAGUACAUGUAUUUCUAAUAGUAGAAGCCAUGCAGAAGUUCCUGUAUUUGAACUACAGUAUGUAAACUGAUCUAUAUGUGUCUAAACUGGUCUGUAUGUGAACUACAAUGAUUGUACUUCUAUUUGGGUUCAGUACAUACUUGCUCUACACUUGUUUUCUAACCAAGUACAUUUAUUUUCUGUAGAAAAAUAAAGAAGUUACUGGGUACAGGCACAAGACUGUCUUGUACUGGGACUCAAUUAGCUUGGUGUUUGGCAAAGGCCAUGCUACUGGUGAAGCGGCAAAGACUGUGGCUGAGAGCUCAAAAAAUAUGAGUAAGGAAUAUCUUAGUAACAAAGAACCCACAUCAUCGGCAACUUCAGGAAGUUUAAAGAGGCAACGAUCAGGUGACUCUUUUACCUCUAUGAUAGCUGAAAAAAUGGACAAGUUUGCUGAAGCACUCAAGGAGGAAGCCCUAAAGGCCUAACAUCAAAAGAAAUUCUAGACACACUGAAUGAGGUACAAUGAUUGGAUGAAGACACUUUGUUGGACCUAUUUGAUAUCCUGACCGGUGAUGCACGCAAGUAUGAGUCUCUGUUGGCGCUUCCGGAGAAGAUGAGGAAGAGGUGGCUCCUAAAACAGCUCAAGAAGUGAAAAAAUUAGUUCAUAUAUAAAUUAUACUAUCAAGUGAUGGAUAAUGUCUAUUGAACUUCCAUUGCCUUGUAAUAAUAUGUGGCUUCAACUAUAUGAAAGUUUAGAUACUAUGUCUGUAUUGCUUGCAUUGUCAAGAUAAUAUGUUUAUCAUGAUCUCAUACUAUGUCUGUCAUGAAAGUUUAGAUAAUAUGUGGCUUCAACUUGUCAUGAUUGUAAUCUCCUUUGACAUGUUGCAAGUAAUCAGAUAUGUCUGCCAGGAUUGCAUUGUCAAGUAUGAAUGUAUAUCAGCAUUGUAGGGAGAGAAGCUUAUCUGCUUUUUGGAGAUAAACAUUCAAAUUACUGGUGUAUGACGGGAUGAAAUACUCUAGUGUUCACCUGGUUGGAAGGAUGAGAGGGAGAUGAGAGAGAGAGUUUGGAAGAGAGAGAGGUGAGAGUUCGGAUGAGAGAGAAAGCAGCUUAGAAGGAUGAGAGAGAGAAAGCGGUAUUCAGCUGGAUGGUGGAAAUUUUAUAUAUUACUAAUAAUGCAUCCAAACAAUAUUUGGAAUUUAAUUCUAAGAAAAACUUCCUUUGUACAACCAAAUAAGAAAAUUCAAUUGAAUCAAAUUCUACGGAAUCCAUUUCCUAUGGAAUCUAAUUGCUAGAAUAUGAUUCAUGGAAUGAGUUUCAAUUCUAGGGAAACAAACGGGCCAUGGUCUUCAUUCCCAAGGAAAGCUUGAGGCUCUGCAAUAUUACACAACAAUGAAGUCAAGAGGGUUGAUCCCUGAACCAAGGACCAAGAUACUGGUGAAAGCUAUACAUAUGAAGAAAGAUGGGGCUGUCAUAGAAGAUCAGUCUGCAAAUAUGACAGGGAAGAAUCUAAAACUGGAUCCACGAUCUAGACUAUUCCAUGUUCAUAAAUAGUUUGCUGUCAGAUCUUACUUCUAUGUGUCAAAAGAAUCUCUUCGACCAGUGUCCAGAUCACAAUGGUCACACCUUGGGCUACAAUAAAUCAUCAGCAAAGUGUAUUGGCAUUAUGUAUCCCAGAAAGUUUUGCUCAGACUUUCAAUGCCAGGGUAUGUUUUUUAUGUCUGAUAUGGAUCAAUUGCAGGUACUGUAUUACACGCUCGUAUUAUGAAGGUUAUGUGAAAUAUGACAGAUGUUUGUUUAUUCAUCUGUUAUGCAUGGCUGUGUCUACUGUCUAGUUGUUGGCUUGUUGCCAACAUAUGCAGCAGCAGGUAGCUUCAGCCGCUCAGAAGCCCAAAUGAAGGAUGGCCCAGGCAGAAUAGCUAUGUCCAGACCCAGAAAGCUUAGGACAUGUCUUGCCAGCCUGCAGUUUUGUACUCGUAGCACCAACCAUCUCCGGGUUCUGGCCGGUUAUAUACAUGGUCUGGAAUGGGCAUCCGCUGAUCGAUUGAAACCUUGAGUUGCUUCCGUGUGUCUUUUGCCAUCUAUAUAUUAUGGUUAGUCAACGGCAUGCAGUACACCCAUGCAUAUGAUUGCAGUAGGAUGACAUGGCGUGACCAGAACCCUUCUUUUGCCAGUUUUAGAUUCUUAUACACGGCCAACUGACGCAGCAGGGAGUUGCAUGCUAAGCAGUUCAGCGUAGGUGGUGAGUUCUCAACUCUGAUAUGGCUUAUGGAAGAACACUGUCACGGUGUCACCUAGCCGGUUGGAGGCCAACCUCUUACUAGGGACAGCAAUGGCCCUGUCCGGCCACUGUUUCGUGGCUGGUAUUAUUACCCCUAUGCAGUGAAUAUGACAUGUGGAUCUAUGUGUAUAUUAUGUCGUCAAAAGAACAUUAUAUGAACCGUUGAUCCACCUUUGAUUCUAUUAAUGUGUCAUGGUCAAUUGAUGUCAAACUCUAUUAUCUUCAAGUCUUACUGUAUUGAUAAAAUCACGAUGCUGCUACUGCCAUUUUGAUGUUUAUAAAAGGGUAUUGAGAACCUGGUGGGUAUCCAUUCGAUGCGCAGGGUUGGGGGUGGGGAAAAAUGAGUGUAAAGGACAGGGAUGCAGUAUUUAGAAAGAUGAGGCUGGCACAGAAAAUAGUCUCCAAGUAUGGCAGGGAAGAAUCUAAAACUGAAUCCUUGAUCAAGACUGUCCCAUAUUCAUAAAUAGUUCACUGACAGAUCUUGCUUCCAUAUUCUGAACAGCUGAUGCUGGGCACAUAGGAGGUUAACCGGUCAGCGGAUCAAAGAAAAUCCACAAUGGCCUCAUCUUGGGUUAGAGACAAUCAUCGGUAAAGAAUCAUAUUGCCGGAUAAGGAUAUCUGUGAUUGGUGGGUGCAGAUCCAUGCUCAUUCAAGAAACACAUGAUUCUUUACGGAUGAUCAUCUCUCAGCACACCCUGCUGAUAAGGUUAUCUGAGAUUGGUGGGUGCAGAUCCUAGAAACAAGCUAGGGCUGAAUGCGCCGCUGUACUUGGAUGUUGUGGUGACACCGUAAUGAUUGUGUGUUUAAUGGAGUUUUCCAUAGUGACUAGCGUGCAGGCCGUCCUCGUAUUUGAGAAAAAAAUCAAUGGGCGAAAUAUUUUCACCCAGGUAAUUGUUGCAUUGUAUGAAUAGGCUUAGAUACCUGGUUAAAGUAUGGUGCGUGUACUGUGACACAAGAAGAUUUAUCAUAUCUAUCUAUGAAUUAGUGUUAAAACUCCUACAUAAAUAUCUUCUCUUAUCUCACUUUAUGUAUAUAUAUGACACAGAAGCACAUGUAUAUCGGCAUUGUAGAGAUAGAGAUGAGAGAGAAGCUUAUCUGCUUUUUGGAGAUAAAUAUUCAAAUUACUAGUGUAUGAGAGGGAUAGAAUUAUUCUAUCAUAUUGUUUAUUCAACAUCUAAAAAGAUUCCAUGUUUAGUCAUCUAUAUCGGCGUUGUAGAGAGAGAGACUAGUGUUCAUCUGGUUGGAAGGAUGAGAGAGAGAGGAGAGAGUUUGGAUGAGAUAGAGAGAUAGUGUUCAGCUGGUUGGAAGGAUGAGAGAGAGAGAGAGGAGAGUUUGGAUGAUAGAGAGAUUAGUGUUCACUUGGUUGGAAGGAUGAGAGGGAGAUGAGAGAGUUCGGAUGAGGAGGUAGAGAGUUCGGAAGAGAGAGAGAGGUGAGAGUUCGGAUGAGAGGUGUGAGAGAGGUGAGAGUUCGGAUGAGAGAUAAAAUAGCUUAUAAGGAUGAGAGAGAGAGAAAGCGGUAUUCAGCUGGAUGGUGGAGACUUCAUAUAUUACUAAUAAUGCAUCCAAACAACAUUUGAAAUUUAAUUCUAAGAAAAACUUUCUCGGUAAAUCAAAACAAGAAAAUUCAAUUGAAUCAAAUUCUACGGAAUCCAUUUCCUACGAAAUCUAAUUGCUAGAAUAUGAUUCAUGGAAUGAGUUCCAAUUCUAGAGAUCCAAACGGGCCCUAAGAGAAUUGUAGUGAUCAACUCCCAAGUUGCAAUAUAUUCUAGGAAAUAGGUGGUUAUGAGGAUGAUACCUGCAGACAAUACUUUUUAUCCCUCAAUUCUUACAGAGAAUUGCACUAUCAACUGCAUUUUCAUUUGUGCCACGCUGCUCAGCUAUAAAAAACGGGGCAAAUCGACCAAAAUAAAUGAAUAAACCACAUGGUUUAGACUGGUGGCAUAUGUAUGUCUGAUGAGUUUAGAAUCCCAACAGACCUCUGUUUGCUUAUCCAACAGGAGGGAAAAAGUUUACUUACUAAAUCAGCUUUGCAUGUCAGGCUGCAAUUGUUAGAGAGUAGAAUUGGGUAAUUUGUGAACAUAAUUGAAUCAAAGUUUUGUCUCAGACUAGUAAUAGAAAAUGGUGAUGCUCCAUAGCUAGAACAACACGUUCCUACACUAGUUUAAAAAAUCCCCUGAAAUUGGGAACAAUGGUAAAGCCCAAACCAUACUUGGAACUUGGAAGGCCGCUGGCGGAUGUCAAAGUCAAAAACAGAAGCAGACAACGACGUCUCACCAGAUCACGAAUCAGAUGCGAUGCAUAUACAUGUUGCAGGCAUUAGCACGCAUCCCUUAGGAUUAAACAAUUCAGCAAGUAGCUCCCCUGCUGACCAAGAAAAGCAAGCUCUGUCUCGCAGCAAGCUCUUCAAUACGCUCCAGCCCAGCUCUACCAUGGCAUUUGCAAUGCGCGUCAUGAGCUUGCUUCCUGCCACCAUCGCCGUGAUGAUCGCAGCGGCCUCCUGGGGAGCGCACGGCGGUGCCAGCGACGAGGCCAGCGCGCUGCUUGCUUUCAAGGCUGAGCUCGCCGGCAGCGGCUCCGGCAUGCUUGCAUCCUGGAAUGGCACCGCUGGCGUCUGCAGCUGGGAGGGCGUGGCGUGCACCAGCGGCCAGGUGGUGGCACUGAGCCUGCCCUCUUAUGGGUUCGCCGGAGCCCUCUCCCCGGCCAUUGGGAACCUCACUUUCCUGCGGACCCUGAACCUGAGUUCCAACUGGUUCCAGGGGGAGGUCCCAGCAAGCAUCGGCCGCCUAGCGCGUCUGCAGACGCUUGAUCUGAGCUACAAUGCGUUCUCUGGUACGCUUCCUUCCAACCUCAGUUCCUGUGUCAGCUUACUGCUGUUAGAUCUCAGCAGUAACCGGUUCCAUGGGCGUAUCCCUGUUGAGCUUGGAGACAAGCUAACAAGUCUUCAGAAGUUCUCACUGGGCAACAACAGCUUGACGGGUGCCAUGCCAGGAUUACUAGGUAACCUGUCAUCCCUGAACUACCUUGAUCUGAGAAAAAACCACCUCGAGGGUCCGAUCCCACAUGAACUCGGCAGCAUGGGCGGCCUGCAGGUCCUUUUACUCCAUGACAACAGACUCUCCGGUGUGCUUCCACACUCCCUGUACAAUCUGUCCUCACUGAAAAAGUUGGGGGUAGGAGACAACAUGCUGUCUGGAACCAUCCCUGCUGAUAUCGGCGAUAGGUUCCCCGGUAUGGAAGCUCUUGACUUUUCUAGCAACCGAUUCAGUGGAGCUAUCCCACCUUCGCUCGGCAACCUCUCUGCUCUCACAAAACUAAUCCUUCAAGAAAAUGGUUUUAUUGGAUAUGUGCCUUCUGCUUUGGGAAAGUUGCAAAGUCUUACUGCCCUUUUCUUGGGUGUUAACAGGCUAGGAGCAAACGACAGUCAAGGGUGGGAAUUCAUCACUUCACUGGCAAACUGCUCCCAGCUUCAGGUUCUUGUUCUCGGCAACAACUCUUUCAGCGGGCAACUGCCUAAUUCAGUCACAAACCUGUCAUCAACUCUGCAAGGUCUUUAUUUGGGAGACAAUAUGAUUUCUGGGAAUAUUCCAAUAAACAUCGGAAAUUUGGUUGGUCUUACAGUAUUUGUGAUGGGAAAUACUUCUGUAUCUGGACAGAUUCCAGAGAGCAUUGGUCAGCUAAGAAACUUGGGUGUGUUAGGCCUUUACAACACUAGCUUGUCAGGCCUCAUACCUUCGUCACUAGGAAAUCUUACACAGUUGAAUAGGCUUUAUGCAUACUAUGGAAACUUAGAGGGGCCAAUUCCAUCAAACUUGGGGAACUUAAAGAAUGUGUUUGUCUUUGAUCUCUCAACAAAUCGACUCAAUGGUUCAAUUCCUAUAGAGGUUUUAAAACUUCCUCAACUUUCAUGGUACUUAGACUUAUCAUAUAAUUCAUUAUCCGGGCCACUUCCAAUUGAGGUUGGUACCAUGGUGAAUCUUAACGAACUGAUUCUGUCUGGAAACAAGUUGUCAGGCACCAUACCAGCUAGUGUUGGGAACUGUAUAUCGUUGGUACGGCUGCUGCUCGAUAACAACUUAUUAGAAGGAAGCAUACCUCAAUCUCUGAAGAACAUAAAAGGUCUUGCAUUACUGAACCUAACAAUGAAUAAGCUAUCUGGUAGUAUUCCUGAUGCCCUUGCUAGCAUUGGCCACCUGCAACAACUGUAUCUUGCACACAACAACUUGUCAGGUUCCAUCCCCAAAGUUCUACAGAAUUUGACAUUGUUGGCAAAACUGGAUUUGUCCUUCAAUGAUCUGCAAGGCGAAGUGCCAAAAGGGGGUCCUUUUGCAAAUGCAACUCACUUGUCAAUUGAUGGAAAUGAUGAGCUUUGUGGCGGAAACCCUCAACUUCAUUUAGCUCCGUGCUCCACAGCAGCUGCGGGGAAGAACAGAAGGCGAAUGUCAAGAUCACUUAUGGUCACCGUAGCGUCAAUCUGCGCACUUCUAUUCUUAGGUUUAGUAGUUUGUCUUAUCCAUUUGAUCCACAAGAGGCUCAGACAAGGAAAGGAAAAUCAACUCAUUCCCACAGCAAUUGAUGAACAGCACGAAAGGGUUUCAUAUCAAGCAUUAGCAAAUGGGACUGACCAUUUUUCGCAGGUUAAUCUGCUCGGACAAGGAAGCUAUGGUGCAGUUUAUAAGUGCACUUUACAAGACAAGGGAAUUACCGCAGCUGUAAAGGUAUUCAACGUGUGGCAAUCUGGGUCUACUAGAAGUUUUGUGGCUGAAUGUGAGGCACUGCGAAGGGUGCGCCACCGAUGUCUCAUAAAGAUCAUCACCUGUUGCUUAAGCAUUGAUCACCAAGGCCAAGAAUUCAAGGCACUGGUUUUUGAGUUCAUGCCCAAUGGUAACCUAAAUGGUUGGCUGCAUCCAGCAUCCAAAAUACAGAGUCUGAGCAAUACGCUCAGCUUAGCUCAGAGACUGGACAUUGCGGUAGAUAUCAUGGAUGCUUUGGAUUAUCUUCACAAUCAGUGUCAACCGCCUAUUAUCCAUUGUGAUCUCAAACCAAGUAACAUCCUCCUUGCCGAAAGUAUGAGUGCUCGGGUUGGAGAUUUCGGCAUAUCAAAAAUCCUUCCUGAUGACACUAGCAAAACUAUGCUGAAUUCGGUUAGCUUCACUGGACUAAGAGGUUCCAUUGGAUACGUCGCUCCAGGUAACAGAAACUAACACUGAUAUUGCUAUGUUCAGUUUUUAACUUCCAUUUUGCCAAGUCCAGUUAUCUCGGCAUGAAUCGUUCGUAAGUAGCUUGCCAUGAAUCCACUGACCAAAUAGUUUCUGAAAUCUGAAUUGACUGCAGAGUACGGCGAGGGUCGCGCCGUCUCAACUCUUGGAGAUGUUUACAGCCUCGGCAUACUGUUGCUUGAGAUGUUCACCGGGAUGAGCCCUACUGACGACAUGUUCAAAGGCUCCUUGGACCUUCAUAAGUUCGCCGAGGCCGCUCUCCCCGACAGAGCCUUGAAGGUAGCCGACCCGGCAAUCUGGCUUCAUGAAGAAGCAAAGGGGGAAGACCCGGCCACGGUGAGAAGCAGAAGCGAGAGGUGCUUGGCUUCAGUGGUCGGGCUUGGCGUGUCCUGCUCAAAGCAGCUGCCAAGGGAGCGGACGGCGAUGCGGGAUGCUGCCGCUGAGAUGCGUGCGAUCAGAGAUGCCUUCCUGGUUCAAUGUGCAACAGAGACUUGGCCUGCAGUCGGCACCAGCGGCCUUGGAAGCACAGACACUUGAAUGGUGGACGGAGCUACGGUCUCUUGACGCACCAAGGAGCCACCGGACUAGCUGCUCUGCAACUAACAGGGUGGAGAAAGCGCCCCUUAAUGAAAAGAAAAACAGCCGGUGCAAGGCUUUAUACAAAGAAUGUGACAGCCACUGCGUGUAUCCGAGAGCCUUAUCUAAUCUACCGAGGAUUGUUAUGUAUGGAUGCGUAUAGAUUAUGCACGGACUCCUCCGUCCCAAAAUAAACGCACAUCUUGCUUCUUGAGGAGUCAAACUUCUAAGUUUGACUAAAAUUUAUAAAAAAAAUGUACUACUAUUUAUAAUGUAUAAUAAAUAUCAUUAGAUUGAGCAUUGGGUAUACUUUCUUAAUACAUUUAUUUGAAGAUGUAAAUGUUGAUACUAUUUUUUAUAUUCUUAGUCAAAUUUAAAAAUAUUUGACUCAUCGAGAAGCGAGAUGUGUGUUUAUUUUGGGACGAAAGGAGUACCCGUCACCGGGAUUAGUCAUGAUAUAAGAUUAGUCACGAUAUAAGUAGGGAUUAGCAAGCACCAAAACCCCAUUCACUGCCCAUCGAUCGCUCAAAUAAAAGAAACCAUUGCAUAUGGUGGCGAUGCGCUCGCGGGCCUUUCUCCAACCUUUCUGCUCUCGCGGGUCUUGAACUUGCAUGGAACAGUUUUAGUAAAGCUGCCUCCAACUUUAGGGAGAUUGCCAAGGUUCAUUUACCUGUCCUUAAGUGGCAAUAAGUUAGGAUCGAAUGAUAAGGACGGAUUGGAAUUCAUCACCAUGCUGGCAAACUUCAGCCAGCUUCAUCAACUGGCUUUUGACAAUAAUUCAUUCAUCGGCGAACUUCCUAGCUCAAUUGCAAAUCUAUCGACAACACACCAAUUACUCUAUAUACGAUACAAUUGGAUUUCGGGAUUUAUUCCAUCCAGCAUAGGUAAUUUGCUUGGUCUAGAACUGCUUACGUUGGCAAAUACUUUCAUAUCCGGAAUGAUUGUAGAUAGCAUUGGUCGCCUAGAAGACAUGUCCGUGUUAGGCAUUUACUACGCUAGCUUGUCAGGUAUCAUACCUUCAUCACAAGGAAAGCUUACACAGUUGAAAACUCUCUAUGCGUACGAUAGCAACUUGGAGGGUUCAUUUCCAGCAAGCUGGGGGAACUUAAAGAAUCUUUUUGUUCUUAAUCUCUCAACGAAAGUGCGUAACCCGCUAAAGUUUCAUGUCAAAGCAGAGCAUAAAUCUCUCUCAAAACUGCAAAACUAUCAUAAAGCAGAUCAGUCUGAGGGCUAGCCUAUGCCCUAUCAACGCCUCCCUUCUUGCCCUUUUGGUAAGAUUACCCCAAACUAGAGUCUAUAAUUAAUUAGCUAAGACUAGAGCCACGUAGUUCUUGUGGUUGUACUGUUUUCCUGAGUGGUCGCUCCAUGUUCCAAUUAAGCAUGAUGAUCUUGUAUUAAUAAAAGGUAUAUCAUAAAUAAAACAAGUUUAAUCAUUGAGUUCAUUAAAACCAUCACAAUCCAAGGUAUUGCAACUAAGCAUAUCUACCUUAAAAAAAGGUAAAACCCAGGUUGACAAGGAAUGAUCAUAAAAACUAGGUAAACCUUAAUAGGACCUAUCAAUAUUAAAUGUAGAGCAAUGCAAAAGUGAUUAAAUAUAGUUUUUGGGAUAAAAGUAUAAGGACACACGUGCCUUUCUCCAAAGAAUAGCUGCUCAGAUUAUCUUCCGCUCUUGUUCCUCAAAGCUCUCGAACAAUGUUCCUUCUACUUGCAUCAAUCAUCGGCACAAGCAUACCAAGCAAACAACAAUCACAACUAAGAACAAUACAUCAAUCAUUGGAAAGCUUUAAAAGAGCGUACUAAAGGAUAAGGCUUGAAUCUAAGGUCACGCGAAUGCAAGAAACGCUGGGAACAAAACUAUGGUUGAAAAGACAAAGUUAUCGAGAGAUUUGAAUUAUAAAAGAAAGAGAAAAGCAUAUGUGCUUCAUAUAUUUUAAUAAAACAAUGUAAAGAUAUUUUAGAGAAACAUCCUUAGCAUGUUAUAGUUAUGUAUGAAAAGACAAUGUAGAACUUAGUCAAAUUUUAUUAUAAACAUUCAAGUACAAUUUAUGCAAAUUAAAAAUUUAAUUUGAAAAUAAAGUAUAUGUAAACAUCUAAGCGCAUAGCUUUAUGAUUUAGGUUGAACUAACCAAAUAUAAUUAAAAACACAUUUAUAUUUAUAUUAAAUCAAAUUAACAUAUAAUUAUGAAAACUCGAGAUAUAAAUUAUGUAGCUUUUAUUUAGAAAACAAAUUGAAUAAACAUUUUAAUUAAAGAAGACAUGUUUAACAUGCAUUAAUUAGAUUAAUAUUAAAUUUAUUUUAAAAACAUGCAUGAUGGAAAGAUCGGCACUAACGUGUAAUUUGUGAUUCAGGUUGAACUAACCAAAUAUAAUUCAAAAACACAUUUAUAUUUAUAUUAGUCAAAUUAACAUAUAAUUAUGAAAACCCAAGAUGUAACUUAUGUAGCUUUUAUUUAGAAAACAAAUUGAAUAAACAUUAAUCAAUUUAAGUUUAAUUAUGAACCACCGUGGUGCAUCUCUAAUUCGCUUUUAAUUGAAAGAGUUAUUUAAAUAAGCAUUAAUAACUAAAUUAACAUUUAUUAUGAAAAGCGGUUAUAACACUAAGUAGCUUUUAAUUAAGGAAGACAUGUUUAACAUGCAUUAAUUAGAUUAAUAUUAAAUUUAUUUUAAAACAUGCAUGAUGGAAAGAUCACUACUAACAUGUCCUAAGAAUGGAUAUAAACGGAGCUGUAAUGAGGAGUCCAUGGGUUAAACAAGGUUGCAGGGCCUAAUCGCGAUUAACGGAAGGUUAUUGGGGCUAGCAAGGAAGAUUUGCAAGACACUGGAAUAGAGCUCACCAUUAGGUCAAAGCAUAGGGUUAGAUAUGUUAAAGUGCUCAGGUUAGACUUGGUUGCACGGAUCCAAUCUAAUCAGGGACAUGGAUGAAAAAAAACAAGACACAAGGAAAAACUAACUAUUUGUAGAGCUUUAUAGGGGCCUAUGCGCAAAAGCACCACAGCUCAGCAUCCAUGGUGGACGGGCUCCUGGAUGGCAAAACCCUCGUGUCAGAUUUAUAAGCCUGGUAGUCCACCAAGGGAUUCCCCAAGUGGUUGAUUUGUAGAUGAGGGUGAUUGUGAAACCAAGAACUCGAAGGUGGUCGCGAGAACACGAAGGGACACUUAGACAAGUUCGGACCUUCGGAGAGUAAUACCCUACGUCCUAUAUGCUGGUUUGUAUUGCUUGAGAUUGAUCUAAUUGUUGCGAUACCCUCGGGGGUGCCCUUGGCCGCCUUAUAUAGGCUGACGAUCAAGAGUUAAAAGUCGGUUUGAAUCUAAUCUACUCGGUAGUUACAUGGAAAGUAAUCUGAGUUGGACUACAAUAUGUGUUCCAUGAUAUCUGGGCAGAUUUGAACUAUCUUAUUGCCUUGACUUGCACUCCAAGUAACUUUAUGUCCUCGGCCCGCACGCUCUGAUCGGGCAGGCCCUACUUGUUAGUCCGACCAGUAUCCUGGCCGGUCAGGGCCCAUGGGGUACCCAUAUCCCUUAAGGCCCCAAGCAUUGUGUAGGCAAACAGGAACUUGAUGUCAUCAAAGUGAAACUUGGAAUGAAAUCGGGUGAAGCUGACGAAGAGCCAACGCGUAGAGCGAGGAUGAGUGCCGAGUUGAUGGAUGCUGGCAUCCAGCAGGUCGAAGCGAAGGUUACGGAGGGCGUCGCAAGACGCACUCUGUAGGAGUAGCCCCGGAGCAUUGAAACAAUUAAGAUAAUCAAUACAAUGGUCAAAGAGGAAAAAAUUGUCCCCUGAAGUAGAUCCUUGUGCCCGAACACAAGGAUGGACGCAGCCACGGAGGCCCGCCAACCAGAAGUAGGCACCUAGACUCAAGGACGAGGACUGGUGGGACUGUGGAGCCAUGCCGACCUGAAAUAGGCAUCUAACCCCUGAGGACGAGGACUAGCAGAGCCGCAGAGGCAUGCUAACCUGAAAUAGGUGCCUAGCCCCCGAGGAUGAGGACUGGCGGAGCCAUGAAGGCACGCCGACUUGAAAUAGGUGCCAAGCCCCCAAGGACGAGGACCAGCAGAGCCACGAAGGCACUCUGACCAGAAUUAGGCGUCCAGCCCCCGGGCAUGAGUGCGAGGAUUGGCGGAAGCACAUCGAGUUGCCUCCCUUCCCGGGCUCAGGCAGAGAGGUUGGUCGGGUGACGAGAGGCACACCAAGUCAUCAAUGGUGCCCAGCCGCCGAGCCUAGGAGCCGGACGAGUUGCAAAAGCAUGGCAAGUCACCUCCCGCCCCGAGCCAGAGAGGUCGGCUGGGCGACGGGAGGCACGCCGAGUCAUCUACGGUGCCCAGCCCCCGAGCCUUGGAGCCGGCUGAGCCACAGAAGCACGCCAAGCCGCCUCCCGCCCUGAGCUAGAGAGGUCGUUUGGGUGACAAGAUGCACGCCGAGUCGUCUGCGGCGCCUAGCCCUCGAGCUUGGGAGCCAGACGAGCCACAGAAGCAUGCCAAGUCGCCUCCUGUCCCGUGCUAGAGAGGUCAGCCGGGUGAUGGGAGGCACGUCGAGUAGUUUUUGAGCUAUAAAAGAACAAUACAAUCAUUAUGUAGCAUAAUGUAGAUCAUUUAAUCAUUGAACAACUCGGAAGUUUAAUUCGCUGUAGAAGUAAACUCUUGCGCAUCCUGCUCUUAUAGGCCAAGUAAUUUCCCUAGGUAGUUAUCUUGUUACGUUUAAGCACCUAGCCCUACUGACCACUGUUCACGGAGAGGAUGGUUUAUCUUAGGCUAUAGUGCUGGGGCUGACCCGAUGCUCGCAUAUAGGAACGCGCAGGAUGAGUCAAGGUUUCACGGAUUAAGGCGUGUGCUACCCGAGUACUUUAGCAACCGUUAACAGGGAUGGACAAGUCGCAAAGCAACCGGAACUGUGCGGAAAAGCACCAGCAUGAGUUGGGCACCCAUGGGGUGUAGCCCCCGGCCGCCCGUGUAGUGGACGGAACAAAAGUCACGACAACAUGGAGGAGCCGAGGCUUAUGUAGGUAUAUGGAAGCUGUAAAAUAUUUUAUUGUAAAUAAUACUUAGCUUGAUUCGUGGUCGAGUCAAAGAACCCGCGUGUCAUCUUCGCGUUUAGUCUUAGAAGCCCCUGAGCGUGGUCGGCGGACAGUUGUUGGUGAAGCAAACUAGUCGGGCUCCAUGCCCAACUAAUUCGUGUCGAGUUCGAGUUGUUGGAGUUGUCAGCGGCAGGUUUGUGGUUGCGAUUGUGGUAUGCUGUUGCCAAGUCGAUGUGGCCAUCGGGUCGUGUCCGGCUGGCCGCUACGCUCACAGUACAGCAUGUCUGGGUUGUGCUGCCAAACCAAGGGUGCAUGUACAUCUUUUCGAACCUUGCAAGGAAGCCCUCACGUAUUAAGGAAAUCUAUACCUAAUAUUAAAGCUCCCGCAGCGUGCGCCUAUGCCACGUGUGGUGUGGACGGGUGUGCCGGCUGCGGCUGCGAGCUCCUCACUGCGGCAGGGACCAGGUCGAGCAGCGACAGUGAUGACGAAGGGGAGUAGUCCGCGUCUGCGUGCCAUGCCACCAUCGCCGGGCAAGGUGUGGCAGCGGCGGAGGGGGAGAGUGAGUACAUCGGCGUGCAGCGGCGGCCGUGGGGUAGGUGGGCGGCGGAGAUCCGCGACCCGCACUACGCCGUGCGCAAGUGGCUCGGCACCUUUGACACAGCUAAGGAUGCCACGCGCACCUACAACAUCACCGAUGUCGAGUUUUGAGGCCACUGCACCAAGAUCAACUUCCCCGACAACACGGCCCCCGCGCCCGCACCUUCCUGGGUGCCAAACUCGACAUACCACCACCACGACCACUUGCCGCUGCCGCUGCCCGAGAGCCUACACGAGACCUGCGGGGCGAACGCAUCCUCGUCGAUGGAUGUGGCUCUUGCGGUAGCGGCGUCGGCCGAGCAGCACGGCACGAGGCCGGUGCCGAAGGAGCAGGACAUCUGGGACAGGCUGAACGAGUUCAUGAUGAUGGAUGACGGUAGCUUUUGGUCACCCAUGCUAUGAUCAUCACAUUCUCCUCCAUUCUCCUCUUGUUUUCACUUUCGUUGCUUAGCGGAUAAUGGUGGUCAGCUGGCCUCUGGUCUGUCGUCAAUCGCCAGCCAUCCAUCGCUUUUAUAUGGUUUUGCACUAGCUUUUGGGCUUUGACCACACCCUCCACACCCAUACGAAAUGACUAGGUAGAGUGAUGUUGAUAUACUGCUUGCCGCGCGCUAGGGCGAGCAGCUACUCACUCGGGCUAGAUGCCCUACCCGCCACCUGGACCUAAGAGGUGAAGGAGAGAGGAGGGAGGGGGAAGGAAACAAGGAGCCGAGUGCCUCUUUGCAGUCAACCAAGUAGAGCCAUAUGCCAGCGAAGGCAUGGCGCCAGCGAGGGGGGGGGGCGCAGCGGCAGUCGGUAGGCAACACAAACAGGGGGCGGAGGUCGGGACCUCACAUCCCCCUCUCAAUGAUGUCCAUCCCCUUCAUAUCCAGAACUAAAGCCUCCACAUCUAGCAAUUGGGGGCUCGAUUUUGCACUUGAUUGGAACGAUUUGGAGUGGAUUAUAGAAGGGAAGUGGAUGGAAACGAGAAGAAGAGGAAAACACACUCCUGCUCAUGGCGGCCAGAGGCGCGGUGGCCUAGGUCUCGAAGCAGGAAUGAGGCUAGGCACGGGAAGGACGAGCGUUUGCCUAGGCGACGGUGAGGAUGGCAAGAUGCGUAGCGCCUGGAUGAUGGCGAAGAUAGGGCAUGAUGCGGGUGGCGCCGACGGACGAAGUGGCAUCGACUAGCUAGAUGACGAUGAGUACGGGGGAAAUCGAAUGAAUGGAUAGAGCGGAGGUUGAGCGGUGAUUUUUUUUUAUUUCCAUGUGUGGGUCCCAUGUAAUAAACAGAUGGCAUCAAACCACCCACAAAUAUCUUCUACUACUGUACUGGGAUAACGCAUCAACAUAUGGUGAAGCGAAAUCAACAUAUUAGGAACAAGCAAAUAAUAAUGUGAGAGUAAGUAAGGACUUGUAGCAACGUACAUGUAUUUCUGCUAGUAAGAAAAAAAAUUGUUAGCUGCCGUAGUAAGCACCAAGCAACGUAGGAGAUCUACUGGAUGGAAUAGAUUAAAUAAUAAAGGGAAGGGAGAAUUGUUCCUUUUUUUUGGCAGAUCCGACGUGUCUGCAUGCAACAAGUUGAGGUCGACGUGUUGUGCUAAAUCAACCGGAUCAGACUGGGGCCGGAUCAGGCGAGCUUGGCUGUGGCCGGGAUGAGGCCAAUAAGGGCGUCGCCCUUGACCUUGGCCUCCUGUGCCUCGCGGAUCUUCUACAUCUGGAGCAUCUGCUCCAUGAUGAGCUCGUAGUGGCACUUCUUGUAGGCGUGGCGCUCGGGCUCGCACUUCCAGCGGAGGUAGAACUCGGAGGUGCACGCACUGGUCGUGGUAGGCGAGCGGCACCAAGGCCUCCGCCAUCUCCACCUGCGUGAUGAUCUGGGGCUUCGUGGAGUCGAACUGAAUGCCGGCCAUUGCCGCCGCCUCCAUCUGUCACUUUCUUGCCCUCUCUCUUGCCGGCGAGGUCGUUCCGUUGAUAGAUGGGUGCUGCGGGUUUGGUGCGGCGUGGGUGGGUGGUGUGCAGCAAGGACGUGAGGAACCCUCUCGGAGAGAGAGAUUGCUUACCUACUAGGUAAACGGUGUGAUGAUCCUUUGAUAUAGACCUUGCUCCGCCGGAGUAAAUUCGACAGAUGCCAAGCUGGCGGCGGGCAUUGAGUCGAAGUCCACCGGCAUGCUCCUGAAGUGGAGCUGGAUCGGAUUGGCGAGGAAGUCCUUCAUGCUCUUGGGGAAAACAAUGUCGGGGCGGGAUGCCAUCGAGCUCGCUAGGGAGGAUCUUACAAUCAUCCCUACCUAGCGCGCCAACUGUUGGAUUUAUAAGCCCGGUAGUCCACCAGGGGGUUACCCAAGUAGUUGAUUUGUAGGUGAGGGCAAUUGCAAAAUCAAGAACUCGAAGGUGAUCGCGAAAACACGAAGGGACACGAAGGUUUUAGAUAGGUUCGGGCCUCCGGAGAGUAAUACCCUAUGUCCUGUAUGCUGAUUUGUAUUGCUUGAGAUUGAUAUGAUUGUUGGGAUACCCUCGGGGGUGCCCUUGGCCGCUUUAUAUAGGCUGACGACCAAGAGUUACAAGUCGGUUUGAAUCUAAUCUACUCGGUAGUUACAUGGAAAGUAAUAUGAGUCAGACUACAAUACGCGUUCCAUGAUAUCCAGGCAGAUUUGAAUUGUCUUGUUGCUUUGACGUGCACUCCAAGUAACUUCAUGUCCUCGACCCGCACGCCUUGGUCGGGUCGGCCCUACUUGUCAGGUCUGACCAGUAUCUUGAGGUACCCAUAUCUCUCACCUUGGUGCUCCGGCGAUUAGGGUCAGUGGCGAGGAUGGGGAUUGGAAGAGGAGAUCGAGGGGACUUUAUGGAGAUGCUCACCGGCGACGAGGCGGACGGAUUCUGGCCAGUAUUUGGCUGGCGGUGGAAGAACACGACAGCUGGCUCAAGUCUUCGUGAGUGAUGGUACUCCGGCGGUGGAGCGACGACGACGACUGGUGGCAGAGCUGCUCCUCGAUGUCACGGAGCUCCCUAAGGCUCUAGCUUGCUCCGAUGGUCGACGAGCACAGCGAAUCGGCCAGAGAAGGACGGCAGUGGCUCCUAGCUCUGGCGGAUGUGGGGGAUGGCAGUGCUCGUGCAAGCUAGGAAGAGUGGCGGUGUGAGGCAGGGCAAUAGCAGGGGCACAAUCUCGACUUUUAUAUGUGCGUGGGUCCGCGCCUGCCUUGGCACGCAUGCCGAGGUUCGGCGGUGGCGAUGCCCAAGUGCAGCUACGCUUGGCCUCGACCCGCUGUUGGUCGAUGGGCCUAGCGGGCCUAGCCGAGCCAUCAACUGGGCCGGGUCAGUGCAGGUUAGUUGGAGAGGGUCGGGCCCCAAAGACUUGGCCCCAUCGAUUAGGAUUUUUCUUUUUUUCAGAAAUGAUUUCUCGUGAAAGAAAAAUCCAGAAAAAUUCUAGAUAAUUAAUUUAAACAAUGAAAAAACUCUAAAAAUCCAAAAAUUUCAGGAAAAAUCAUCUCUAGUUUGGGACAUGAGGAGUCCAAAUAAAAUACUUGGACCUCGUGAAAAGGAUUCUAGAACCUUCCAAAAAUUGGAUUUAGCUUUAGAAAAAAAUGAGAAUAAAUCUUAGAAAAAUCUGAAAAUUCUCAUAAGAACCUAAUCAGCAUCUAAACGCAUUCCAAAACCUUUGCACUUAUGAAAUACCAAGAUGCAUUGGUGUGAAUGCAACCCAUACACAAUCAUUAUAUUUAAUUCAGAAAAACACUCAAUUGUUUUCCUAUACUAAAUUUCCUCUUAAGAAAAUAAAUGUUGGAAAAAUUUUAAAAUUGUGAAAAAAUUAUUGUUUAAUUAUUCUUUUUAAUCAAAUCCUGAAAUUUCAAAAAUUUUAAGGUGAGGCAGAUACCCUCAGGUUUACAGAAUUUGACAUCCAUGUGCAAAUUGGAUCUAUCCUUCCAUGAUCUACAAGGUGAAGUGCCAAAAGUUUUUUUUUGGCAAAUGCAACUUACAUGUCGAUUUAUGGAAAUGAUCAGCUUUGUGGUGGAAAUACCUCAACUUCAUUUAACUCCAUGCUCCAUGUCCAGUGCAAAAAAGAAAAAAAAGGAAAUUUGUCGAAAACCCUUGUGAUCACCCUAACAUCAAUCGGUGCAGUUGUAUUCUCAGUUUCAGUACUUACUGUAAUUGUGUUGAUCUGUAAGAAGCUUAGGAAAAGGCACGAAAGUCAACUCAUAUCCACAACUGAGGAACGGUAUGAAAGAGUUUCUUAUCAUGCUUUGUCAAAUGGGACCAAUGGAUUUUCAGAGGACAAUUUACUUGGACAAGGAAGCUAUGGCAUGGUUUAUAAAUGUACUUUACAUGACCAGGGCACUACAGUAGGCUACUGUAAAGGUGUUUAACACACAACAAUCUGGGACUUCUAGAAGUUUUGUCGCUGAAUGCGAGGCACUCAGAAGGGUGCGUCCUCGUUGUCUCGUAAAGAUCAUCACUUGUUGCUCAAGCAUCAAUCACCAGGGUCAAGAGUUCAAGGCACUAGUUUUUGAGCUCAUGCCAAAUGGUAGCCUAAAUGGUUGGCUUCACCCAGAGUCUGACACACUUACCCAGACAAAUACCCUUAGCCUUGAACAAAGGCUACACAUUGCUGUCGAUAUCCUGGAUGCUUUGGACUAUCUUCAUAAUCACUGUCAGCCAUCAAUCAUUCAUUGCGAUCUCAAGCCAAGCAACAUCUUUCUUGCGGAGGACGUGAGUGAGUGCCCGAGUUGGAGGUUUUGGCAUACGAAGAAUCCUUCCAGAAAGUGCUAGUAAAACCCUGCAAAAUUCGAAUAGCACAACUGGAAUAAGAGGCACCAUUGGUUAUGUUGCACCAGGUAAUGAAAGAGAUAUUUUUGGUAUUUGUAAAAUGUUCUUAGUUCUUACGUAUACAUGACCUGCUGACCUUUGGAUUUUUUCCCCAAUCAGAGUACGGUGAAGGUUCUUCUGUCUCAACUCAAGGUGAUGUUUAUAGCCUCGGCAUAUUGCUGCUUGAGAUGUUUACUGGAAGGAACCCAACAGAUGAGAUAUUCAAUGAUUCUUUGGAUUUGCACAAGUUUUCAGAGAAUGCUCUUCCAGAGAGAAUAUGGGAUAUAGUUGAUCCGACAAUACGGAUGCACACAGAUGCCUAUAACAGCACUAUAAGAAGUGGAAUUAAGAAUUGCUUGGUUUAUGUUGUUUCUCUUGGAAUAUCAUGCUCGGAGAAACAACCUAGGGAGCGGAUCCCGAUUCUGGAUGCAGCCAUUGAGAUGCACGCUAUUAGAGAUUCGUAUCUCAAGUUUGCCAGAUCUCUUUUGGUGGAGCAUGGAGUAGUAGCAACAACUCACAGUGAUUUUCCACAACAGUGAAUACAUAGGACUGAAAAUGCGCAAGAUGUCUGCAGAUGAUCAGUUUACCUGAAAUAACUGAAGAUGUAUGAAGCUUCAGCUUUAUAAUUUGUCCAUGCAUUUGUUUGCAUCAGAUAUAUGGAAGUAUAAAAUAAGUUUAGAAAAUGUUUCAAAAUAGAUUAGAUCCAGAGGUUUUAGUUGUCGUUUGUAUGACACAUUUUUGUAGAGAAUUCAGUAAUAUGUAUGAUUCAUAAUACAAUCAAUGCUCUGCAAAUUUCAGAUAGCACAAUUGGAAUAAAAAGCUCAUUCCUUGAUUAUGUUUCUCUAGGUAACUCAACUUAUUGUGAUGUUCACUGUAGAUUUCUCCAUGGUCCAAACGACCUUUGUGAUCAGUUAUGUUUAUGCAUUUUGUAGAAUUGUAAAGUCUUUCCCUAACCUGCUGACAUAUUAGCCGGAGCAUAGCACUUUGCCGUUCUGUACCACUCGCCUCUAGGAGGCGCUUGCCGCUUGGUGGCUGCCGUGGCGACCGACGGCAUCCGUACCUGCUCUGUCGGAGAUGGGUGGAGCUGCUCUGCUCUGCCGGUACGAGCUCACUCGCGCCGUGAAUGGCGCGCGCCUCUAAGGUCUCAUCAGCUGCAGGUGCAGAUGGGUGGAGAGCUUAGCGGCGCUAGGUCUUCAGAAGAUGGGGCUUUGCAGCUCUGAAUGGUGAGGCGGGCAGGGACGACGGAGCUGGACGCGUGGGGAGGAGACGAUGGGCAUUUCUGAUAAUAGUUGGAUCGCGAUCCAAAUUAGGGGGCUAUUUACAAAUAAUAGGGGGUAUUCCGUAAAUAUUCGGAUCGCGAUCAUUAAUCGCGAUCCAAAUGAGGGGUUAAUUGAAAUUAUGAUGGGGUGUCUUUUGAAAUUCCGGAUCGCGAUCCCAUCCUCCGCCGCGGCUCGCCGGAGCGCCGCCAGACGCCGGCCAUCCCUUGGGGUACCUCUUCUUCCUUCCGCUUGUCGGAGCCCUAAGACGUGGUCGGUGUUUGAUCUGACAAGGAACCUUGAAGUCCGGACUAACUGAAGAAGACAGACAUGAUGCUGACCUGGAAGACGACGGCCUCGCCAUGGCUGGAUGCGGCGCGGUGGAAGGACAGUGUGGUGGAGGGCGUGGUCCACCACAUUCCGUCGACGGGCGGCGCACUUGCUGUCGCCUGUCGGCUACUUCCAGGCCGUAGCUGAGCUUCAGAGUUCAGACAGGGUGCUUGUGCUUGCAACAAGUUCAGAACGAUGUCAUUAAUUUGAUGCAGAGGAUGGAGCAAACCGGUUGCAAAUUGGAUUCUGAUACAUAUAACUUAAUAUUGAACCUUUAUGUCGAUUGGAAAUAUGAGAAGGGGUGCACCAAAUAUGGGAUGAGAUGGAGAGGAGUGGAUCAGGCCCAGAUCAACGAUCAUUUACUAUUAUGGUUCAUGGUCUUCAUUCCCAAGGAAAGCUUGAUGAGGCUCAACAAUGAAGUCAAGAGGGUUGAUCCCUGAACCAAGGACCAAGAUACUGGUGAAAGCUAUACAUAUGAAGAAAGAUGGGGCUGUCACAGAAGAUCAGUCUGCAAAUAUGACAGGGAAGAAUCUAAAACUGGAUCCACGAUCUAGACUAUUCCAUGUUCAUAAAUAGUUUGCUGUCAGAUCUUACUUCUAUAACCUGAACAGAGGAUUGCUGGGCACGUAUUAUGUGUCAAAAGAAUAUCUUCUACCAGUGUCCAGAUCACAAUGGCCACACCUUGGGCUACAAUAAAUCAUCAGCAAAGUGUAUUGGCAUUAUGUAUCCCAGAAAGUUUUGCUCAGACUUUCAAUGCCAGGGUAUGCUUUUUAUGUCUGAUACGGAUCAAUUGCCAGUACUGUAUUACACCGCUCGUAUUAUGAAGGUUAUGUGAAAUAUGACAGAUGUUUGUUUAUUCAUCUGUUAUGCAUGGCUGUGUCUACUGUCUAGUUCUUGGCUUGUUGCCAACAUAUGCAGCAGCAGGUAGCUUCAGCCGCUCAGAAGCCCAAAUGAAGGAUGGCCCAGGCAGAAUAGCUAUGUCUAGACCCAGAAAGCUUAGGACAUGUCUUGCCAGCCUGCAGUUUUGUACUCGUAGCACCAACCAUCUCCGGGUUCUGGCCGGUUAUAUACAUGAUCUGGAAUGGGCAUCCGCUGAUCGAUUGAAACCUUGAGUUGCUUCCGUGUGUCUUUUGCCAUCUAUAUAUUAUGGUUAGUCAACGGCAUGCAGUACACCCAUGCAUAUGAUUGCAGUAGGAUGACAUGGCGCGACCAGAACCCUUCUUUUGCCAGUUUUAGAUUCUUAUACACGGCCAACUGACGCAGCAGGGAGUGGCAUGCUAAGCAGUUCAGCGUAGGUGGUGUGUUCUUAACUCUGAUAUGGCUUAUGGAAGAACACUGUCACGGUGUCACUGUCCAACCUCUUACUAGGGACAGCAAUGGCCCUGUCCACUGUUUCGUGGCUGGUAUUAUUACCCCUAUGCAGUGAAUCUGACAUGUGGAUCUAUGUGUAUAUUAUGUCGUCAAAAGAACAUUAUUUGAACUCUAUUUGUGGCGCCACCUUUGAUUCUAUUAAUGUGUCAUGGUCAAUUGAUGUCAAACUCUAUUAUCUUCAAGUCUUAUUGUAUUGAUAAAAUCACGAUGCUGCUACUGCCAUUUUGAUGUUUAUAAAAGGGUAUUGAGAACCUGGUGGGUAUCCAUUCGAUGCGCAGGGGUGGGGGUGGGGAAAAAUGAGUGUAAAGGAUAGGGAUACAGUAUUUAGAAAGAUGGGGCUGCCACAGAAGAUAGUCUCCAAGUAUGGCAGGGAAGAAUCUAAAAACUGAUUCCUUGAUCAAGACUGUCCCAUAUUCAUAAAUAGUUCACUGACAGAUCUUGCUUGCAUAUUCUGAACAGCUGAUGCUGGGCACAUAGGAGGUUAACCGGUCAGCGGAUCGAAGGAAAAAAAAAUCUUGCCUGUCAGUGUCCACAAUGGCCUCAUCUUGGGUUAGAGACAAUCAUCCCUAAAGAAUCAUAUUGCCGGAUAAGGUUAUCUGUGAUUGGUGGGUGCAGAUCCAUGCUCAUCCUAGAAACAAGCCAGGGCUAAAUGCGCCACUCAUUUUAGAUGCUUGGAUGUUGUGGUCACACCGAAAUGAUCGUGUGUUUAAUGGAGUUUCCCAUAGUGACUAGCGUGCAGGCUGUCCUCGUAUUCGAGAAAAAAAAAAUCAAUGGGCGAAAUAUUUUCACCCAGGUAAUUGUUGCAUUGUAUGAAUAGGUUAGAGUAUGAAUGUGCGUGUACUGUGACACAAGAAGAUUUAUCAUAUCCAUAUAUGAAUUAGUGUUAAAUUUGCUACAUAAAUAUCUUCUCUUAUCUCAUUGUAUGUGUAUAUAUGACACAGAAGCACAUGUAUAUCGGCAUUGUAGAGAGAGAGAUGAGAGAGAGAAGCUUAUCUGCUUUUUGGAGAUAAAUAUUCAAAUUACUGGUGUAUGAGAGGGAUAUAAUUAUUCUAUUAAAUUGUUUAUUCAACAUCUAAAAAGAUUCCAAUGUUUAGUCAUCUAUAUAGGCAUUGUAGAGAGAGAGACUAGUGUUCAGCUGGUUGGAAGGAUGAGAGAGAGGAGAGAGUUCAGAUGAGAAAGAGACUAGUGUUUAGCUGGUUGGAAGGAUGAGAGAGAGAGAUAGAGUAGAGUUUGGAUGAUAGAGAGAUUAGUGUUCACCUGGUUGGAAGGAUGAGAGGGAGAUGAGAGAGUUCAGAUGAGGAGGUGGAGAGUUUGGAAGAGAGAGAGAGAGGUGAGAGUUUGGAUGAGAGAGAAAGCAGCUAAGAAGGAUGAGAGAGAGAAAGCGGUAUUCAGCUGGAUGGUGGAGACUUCAUAUAUUACUUAGCGUUGCUACGGCGAAACGACGUUGCUUAGCGCGCGAUGUUUUUAUCGUGUCGUGUAGCGCACCACAUUUUUUAUCGUGUUGUGUAACUUUUUUAUUUUAGUAGUAUUAGACUUUUCAUACAUAAGGGGCCACGUGAGUGUGUCCAUAUCCCAACCGUGCGGAGACCGCUUGUCAUUGAAUUUGUUAUCUCUUGCUCUAUCUUGUGAUUGGUAGGCUUCUACAGCAAUUCUGCACAAAGAAGGCCCCACUUCGCCCCACUCCUGACGUCCGGUUAUUCCCACGCCUGCCCUCUCCCUCUCCAAUCCUCACCGCCAGCUCCUCAGGGUCUAGGUCGGCCCGUGAUGUAGUGGCCUAUUAUCCUUCCACCGUUGGAAGCGAGCAGUGAUCGCUGCUCUGUGAACCUAGCCUCAAGCUGUUCCUACCACUUCAGGUCCAGUGAUGCCCGAGCUUUCGCUUGGCCCGAACAGGCCACUACCAACUUGGAACGGGCAAGGCCAGCAAGGGCACAGAAUAGACCCAAGCCCAGAGUCCGCGCCCAACCAUCCACACCACCUUAAUGCCCCCACUUGGGUUACAAGCCCGCGCAACCAAGCUCGGUGAGGAUGGCUCGUGAGGACGAACAUUUAAGCUGGUGCGUUGCUGCUUCAGAUGGCGAGGUGAUACUAAUAUAACGAAUAGGAAAAUUUCACGUGGGUCCCAUGCCGCACCCACCCCUAUCCUUAUCCUUUCUCAUCUCUCUACUGUCUGUCCGGUCCUUAUCCUCCUCAUCUCAUCUCUCUCUCUCAAUCCCUCUCUCUCAAACUCUCUAUCUCUCCUAUCCCCUCUUUCUCUGGAGAACGCGGUGCACGGCCAGCCCCAGCGGCGGCCUGGAGGCGCGAGGUGCCGCCGGCGGCCGAGGGUUGCGGGGCUGCGGCAAGGAGCCUCCUGGCUGUGGAUGCGACGGCCUAGCCACGGGUGCCGGGCCGCGUCACACCGCGCGCUGCUGCCGUCGAGCGGGCCGCACGCACUGCCCACACACCAGGCGGCGUGGGCGGCCAGGCUGAGCGGCGCGGCCGGGGCUGGGGAGGCGACUCUGGUGCGGCCGAGGUAGCUUGGGCACGGCCGGCUGUGGUGGGUAGGGAGAGGUGGACGGCGGCACAACGGCAGCGCGGAGAGGCGGACGUCAGGCACGAACGGGUGAAAGGGGAGACUGGGAAAGAAAGCUGGACCCACCUAUCAAUGCAGCCGGGGCCGGGGCAGCGCGGGCGGCUGAGGCCGAGGCCAGGCGGCGCGGUCGGGGCCAGGGAGGCGGCUCUGGUGCAGCCAGCCGUGGCUGGCAGGGAGAGGCGGACAACAGCGCAACGGCGGCAUGGAGAGGUGGACGUCAGGCACGGGUGGGUGAAAGGGGAGACGGGGAAAGAAAGCUAGACCCACCUGUCAAUGCGUUAAUCUUACCUAUUAUUAAACAUCAGGGCCACCUCUCAUUGAUAGAAGUUGGACCAAACCAAAAAAAAGUGGGCAGAAGUGUUCCUCACUUUAAUAGUAACAAUAAAGUAUAGAUAAUGCAUCCAAACAACAUUUGGAAUUUAAUUCUAAGAAAAACAAAAUAUGAUUCAUGGAAUGAGUUUCAACUCUAGGAAUCCAAACAGGCCUUAGUUAUUUCUUAUGUAGCUCAAAUCAGAUGCAAGGUACGUCCUAACUUAAAAAACGUAAGUUACUUUGUGUUAUCUUGUGAAUCAGUGAUUAAUUACUUCCAAUCUUAUGUAAAAAGAACUACGAGUUAAAUUCUUUGUCAGAUUUAUACUGACAAGUUACAAGCACAUACCUCUGCAGUAACAGGCGAGCCCUAGACUAGUGGGCAAACCAAAAACAACAUGAUUCGUCAACUGAUCGAAUGCUAAUGACUAUUUUGCUAGGAGAAUGAACAUGAUUCAUGAAAAAAAGGGAGCUACUAACUUGGUCAAGGUCUCCGUCCUCUAGCGUGGGGAAGGGGCCAUCUUGCUCCACGCCACGUCUGCGUGGUUGCUCGGCGGGCGCGACGGCGUCGGCUGCGGAGUGCGGACGGCGCGUAGAUAUGUCAUUGUUGAUCAGGACAUGCACUGCUAUCACCGUCUGUUAUUGGUCAAGGUCUCCGUCCUCUAGCGUGGGGAAGGGGCCAUCUUGCUCCACUCCACGUCUGCGUGGUUGCUCGGCAGGCGCGACGGCGUUGGCUGCGGAGUGCGGACGACGCGUAGAUAUGUCAUUGUUGAUCAGGACAUGCACUUCUAUCACCGUCUGUGGUUGGCGUCCGCGGCCGAGCGGGUCAAGGUCUCCGUCCUCUAGCGUGGGGAAACAGGAUCUCUUCAAUCAGUGCUUCUACAGAAACGGUGCACGGUCACCACGGACCAACGACAUACCAUGAGAAAAGCAGAGCGAAAUGUUGCAGUAGCAGAGUGACCGGAGACUGGAGAGCACUUGCUGCUAAAAGCUGCCUCUUAUUUUGUAUCGUCUUAACAGAAGACUUUAAGUCAACCGCCAUUCGAUUCCAAUAUAAACUAGCAAGUUGGCCCGCGAUAAUACUGCGGCUAGAUUUGAUACAGUAUAAUUUUUUUAAAUACUAUGUUAGCUUAGUAUAUUUCUUUGUCCCUCUUGAUUUGUUUUUCAUCCUCUUGAAAUCACUGAGUAUAGUUAGGUGCCUUACUCUACACAUUGAGUAUCAAGCCAUAUGUGUAUAUUUGUUUUUUUGCAAAUGAACUCCGAUGCCACAUGUGCAUAUGCACGCCUAAUUAAAAUUGCUCACUUGUAACAAAAUAAGAACAACUUGAGUAGUUGAUUCUGAUCUUAUGUUGAAGUUUUUGCCAACUUUUCCUAGUAUUGUUGUGUUGAGUAGAAAGCCUGUGUAGAGAAAGAUACAAAACAAACGAUCGUGUCAACUACUCCCCAUGCUUGCUCAAAUGAUUUUGAAAAAAAAAAACAACCGCGCUCUAAGUCCUAGGGCGGUGAUAUUCCUCCUUACUUUCCUCCUCUUGUUUUCCAUGCACAAUCGAGGAUGACAAAUACCACAAACCACUUAGGCUCGAUCAUGUUUCAUCAUCACAUUCCUCAAAUCUUGAUCACGUUGUUGUCUUCAUUAUGCUAGCAGUACACAUCUCUCCGCCUCUUCUAUUCCACAAAACCAUAAUUGUUCACCGGCUCCAGCAUUGUUGUUGCUCUCCACCAAUCGAGGAAGCUCUUGUCCUUGACAUCACCUUAUCCACUGACCAGCUGAAGUUAUCUGUACAUCCAAAGGUCUCAUAAGAUUUUUGCUGGAUUUGCAUUAAUAUUAAUAUUGCCACCAAUCUAGUCUCAACCUCGCCUUGUGUUCUCCGUGGUCAUUUUUUAUUCUAACUUGCAAGCUCCACAACUACAUAUGAUGGUUCUUCUAUAUACAUAAUAUAUCGCAUCUUCUAAGACAUAUAUCGCGGGCCGGCGGCGCGCGGGGGAGCGGCGCCGGUGGAGCGGAGGCGACCGGUGGUGGGCGGAAGCGGGUGGGCGCGAGCGCGGGUGGAGGCGGAAGAGCGUGCAGGCGGAGGCGGAUGGGUGGAGGCGUGCAGCGGCGGCGGGCGCGGGCGUGUGGCAGCAAGGCCGGCGGCGCGGGGAGGCGGAGACCGGUGGCGGCCAGCCGGCGAGCGUGGGGAUUCUUUUUAUUUUUUUCGAAAUUUUUUAGUCCCGAUUAGUGGUUGGUAACCCAACCGGGACUAAAGGGGACCUUUAAUUCCGGGUGGAUGACCCGGGACUAAAAAUCUCCUCUUUUGUCAAGCCAUCACUAUUGUCCAUAUCACAACGCCUGUGCCUUCUCUUGUUGUCCUCCCCCUUCCCUCUACCUUGCACCUUCUGUUUUCCUGAUCCUAUUGCCAGUUUGUUGCAGCCAUUUAUGGGCACCUCUUUCAUCCAUUGUCCACUGUUGUUGCCCGCUGCUUCAGUUCUUCUCUGACCAAAGCGGUCGUAUCGCGCUGGCCGGUAGGAAGCCAUCAUCUCGCAAAAGCGUCAUCGUCGUCGCCAAACCACAUCUAGCCGAUGCCGAACCAUACUUGCCAUCUUCUUUGCCAAUUUGCCGCUAUGGAAGCCUCCAUGCAUCGCUCAUCAAGUCUAUCCUAUCUCUAUCAGCUCCUGUGGUAUCCUGUUUUGUUUUUGCCUCAACCACGAAGCCAUAGGUUGCUGGUGCUAAAUUGCAGGGCUAGCAACAGGUAUUUCCUCUCCCUGGCCUUGCGGCCAUGCUAUGUAUUUUUCUCUUUAAAAAAAUUACAAUGAUUUAAUCCUAAUGUUCCGAUCAUGUGUGAUUGGUUUAUUAAUUAAAGUUAGAGUUAUACUUGAGUAUAUUAUAUAAAAAUAAUAUAUAUAUAUAUAUAUAUAUAUAUAUAUAUAUAUAUAAGUUACCAUACAAAGUACAACUUCCUACAAGGUGGAGAGGUUCGGAUGGAAUUUUGAUUCAACUUACUCUAUUCUAGAUAUUAGAGUUGUACUAGCAAAAUAUGCUAGUAUGUUGCUACGGUAAAAGAUCAAUUGUGUUUUUCAAAUUAAUAAUAUUUUUUAUUUUCAUAACUAAAUUUUUAUUCCACUUAUUGGAUGUCCACACAUUUAAUAGAAAACUAAAAGAAUUUUUUAUUCAAGCAAGAUAGUUAAAUCAGCCUCCGAUGGCCACCGACGGGGGCUCUUUAGGACUCCUUUAGCCCCGGUUGUAAAGCUAGUGGUCCUCGGGAUUCUGGUGAGGCGUUUUGUCCCGGUUGUAACUACCAACCGAGACUAAAGGGGGGGCCUUUAGUCCCGAUCAGUGUUUCCAACACAGACAAAAUGCUCCUCACCUCCACAUACACAAUGCGCGUGCCCCAAUUUCUCUCCUCCCUCCCCUUAAUUCCAGCGGCCAGGCCUCCUCUCCUUAAUUCCAACACCCACAUGCCUCCUCUCCUCCUCCCUUCACCCCCUACCUCCUCUCCUCCCUCUCUCUCUCUCCUCCGCCGGAUCCGGCCGGCCCCCACUCCCUCUCCCCAAGCUCCUCCCUCUCCCUCGGCCGAGGCGGGUGGCGCAGCCGGGGCCAGGGCGGCGUGGGUGGCCAGGGUCGGGGCCAGGGAGGAUGAUAGGUGGUUAUGAGGAUGAUACCUGCAGAUAAUACUUUUAAUCUCAAUUCUUACAGAAGAAUUGCACUAUGAACUACGCUUUCAUUUAUACCACACCGCUCAGCUAUAAAAAAUGGUGCAAAUCGACCAAAAUAAAUGAAUAAAUCACAUGGUUUAGACUGGUGGCAUAUGUAUGUUUGAUGAGUUUUGAAUCCCAACAGACCUCUGUUUGCUUAUCCAACCGGAGGAAAAACCUUUACUUACUAAAUCAGCUUUGCAUGCCAGGCUGCAAUUGUUAGAGCAGAAUUAGGUAAUUUGUGAACAUAAUUGAAUCAAAGUUUUGUCUCUGACAAGUAAUAGAAAAUGGUAAUGCUCCAUAGCAAGAACACGUUCCUACACUAGUUUAAAAAAUUCCCUGAAAUUGGGAACAAUGGUCAAGUCCAAACCAUACUUGCAACUUGGAGGACCGCUGGCCGAUGUAAGUCAAAGUCAAAAACAGAAGGAGACAGCGACGUCUCACCAGAUCACGAAUCAGAUGCGAUGCAUGUGCAUGUUCAGCAAGACAUUGAAAAGCAAGCUCUUCAAUACGCUCCAGCCCAGCUCCACCAUGGCUUUGGCAAUGCGCGUCAUGAGCUUGCUUCCUGCCACCAUCGCCGUGAUGAUCGCAGUGGCCUCUUGGGGAGCGCACGGCGGUGCCAGCGACGAGGCCAGCGCGCUGCUUGCUUUCAAGGCUCAGCUCGCCGGCAGCGGUUCCGGCAUGCUUGCAUCCUGGAAUGGCACCGCUGGCGUCUGCGGCUGGGAGGGCGUGGCGUGCACCGGCGGCCAGGUAGUGGCACUGAGCCUGCCCUCCUAUGGGCUCGCCGGAGCCCUCUCCCCGGCCAUUGGGAACCUCACUUUCCUGCGGACCCUGAACCUGAGUUCCAACUGGUUCCAGGGGGAGGUCCCAGCAAGCAUCGGCCGCCUAGCGAGUCUGCAGACGCUUGAUCUGAGCUACAAUACGUUCUCUGGUACGCUUCCUUCCAACCUCAGUGCCUGUGUCAGCUUACUGCUGUUGAGGCUCAGUAGUAACCGGUUCCAUGGGCGUAUCCCUGUUGAGCUUGGAGACAAGCUAACAAGUCUUCAGAUGUUGUCACUGCGCAACAACAGCUUGACGGGUGCCAUACCAGGAUCACUAGGUAACCUGUCAUCCCUGAUCUACCUUCAUCUGACAGAAAACCACCUCGAGGGUCCGAUCCCACAUGAACUUGGCAGCAUGGGCGGCCUGCAGGUCCUUUUCCUCUAUGAGAACAGACUCUCCGGUGUGCUUCCACACUCCCUGUACAAUCUGUCCUCACUGAAAAGCUUGUGGGUAGGAUACAACAUGCUGUCUGGAACCAUCCCUGCUGAUAUCGGCGAUAGGUUCCCCGGUAUGGAAGCUCUUGACUUUUCUAGCAACCGAUUCAGUGGAGCUAUCCCACCUUCGCUCGCCAACCUCUCUGCUCUCACAAAACUAGUCCUUCAAGGAAAUGAUUUUAUUGGAUAUGUGCCUUCUGCUUUGGGGAAGUUAAGUCUUACUGCCCUUUACUUGGGUGACAACAGGCUAGAAGCAAACGACAGUCAAGGGUGGGAAUUCAUAGCUUCACUGGCAAACAGCUCCCAGCUUCAGCUUCUUGUUCUCGGCAACAACUCUUUCAGCGGGCAACUGCCUAAUUCAGUCACAAACCUGUCAUCAACUCUGCAAGGUCUUUAUUUGGGACCCAAUAUGAUUUCUGGGAAUAUUCCAAUAAACAUCGGAAAUUUGGUUGGUCUUACAGUACUUGAGAUGGCAAAUACUUUUGUAUCUGGACAGAUUCCAGAGAGCAUUGGUCAGCUAAGAAACUUGGUUCAGCUAGCCCUUUACAACACUAGCUUGUCAGGCCUCAUACCUUCAUCACUAGGAAAUCUUACACAGUUGAAUAGCCUUUUAGCAUACUAUGGAAACUUAGAGGGGCCAAUUCCAUCAAACUUGGGGAACUUAAAGAAUGUGUUUUCCUUUGAUCUCUCAACAAAUCGACUCAAUGGUUCAAUUCCUAUAGAGGUUUUAAAACUUCCUCGACUUUCCUGGUACUUAGACUUAUCAUAUAAUUCAUUAUCCGGGCCACUUCCAACUGAGGUUGGUACCAUGGUGAAUCUUAACGAACUGAUUCUGUCUGGAAACAAGUUGUCAGGCACCAUACCAGCUAGUGUUGGGAACUGUAUAUCGUUGGUACGGCUGCUGCUCGAUAACAACUUAUUAGAAGGAAGCAUACCGCAAUCUCUGAAGAACUUAAAAGGUCUUGAAUUACUGAACCUAACAAUGAAUAAGCUAUCUGGUAGUAUUCCUGAUGCCCUUGCUAGCAUUGGCAACCUGCAACAACUGUAUCUUGCACACAACAACUUGUCAGGUUCCAUCCCCAAAGUUCUACAGAAUUUGACAUUGUUGGCAAAACUGGAUUUGUCCUUCAAUGAUCUGCAAGGCGAAGUGCCAAAAGGGGGUCCUUUUGCAAAUGCAACUCGCUUGUCACUUGAUGGAAAUGAUGAGCUUUGUGGCGGAAACCCUCAACUUCAUUUAGCUCCGUGCUCCACAGCUGCUGCGAGGAAGAACAGAAGGCGAAUGUCAAGAUCACUUAUGGUCACCGUUGCGUCAAUCUGCGCAUUUCUAUUCUUAGGUUUAAUAGUUUGUCUUAUCCAUUUGAUCCACAAGAGGCUCAGACAAGGAAAGGAAAAUCAACUCAUUCCCACAGCAAUUGAUGAACAGCACCAAAGGGUUUCAUAUCAAGCAUUAGCAAAUGGGACUGACCAUUUUUCGGAGGUUAAUCUGCUCGGACAAGGAAGCUAUGGUGCAGUUUAUAAGUGCACUUUACAUGACAAGGGAAUUACCGCAGCUGUAAAGGUAUUCAACGUACGGCAAUCUAGGUCUACUAGAAGUUUUGUGGCUGAAUGUGAGGCACUGCGAAGGGUGCGCCACCGAUGUCUCAUAAAGAUCAUCACCUGUUGCUUAAGCAUUGAUCACCAAGGCCAAGAAUUCAAGGCACUGGUUUUUGAGUUCAUGCCCAAUGGUAACCUAAAUGAUUGGCUGCAUCCAGCAUCCAAGAUACAGAGUCUGAGCAAUACGCUCAGCUUAGCUCAGAGACUGAACAUUGCGGUAGAUAUCAUGGAUGCUCUGGAUUAUCUUCACAAUCAGUGUCAACCGCCUAUUAUCCAUUGUGAUCUCAAACCAAGUAACAUCCUCCUUGCCGAAGAUAUGAGUGCUCGGGUUGGAGAUUUCGGCAUAUCAAAAAUCCUUCCUGAAGACACUAGCAAAACUCUGCUGAAUUCAGUUAGCUUCACUGGACUAAGAGGUUCCAUCGGAUAUGUCGCUCCAGGUAACAGAAACUAACACUGAUAUUGCUAUGUUCAGUUUUUAACUUCCAUUUUGCCAAGUCCAGUUAUCUCGGCAUGCACGUUGAUAAGUAGCUUGCCAUGAAUCCACUGACCAAAUAGUGUCUGAAAUCUGAAUUGACUGCAGAGUACGGCGAGGGUCGCGCUGUCUCAACUCUUGGAGAUGUUUACAGCCUCGGCAUACUGUUGCUUGAGAUGUUCACCGGGAUGAGCCCUACUGACGACAUGUUCAAAGGCUCCUUGGACCUUCAUAAGUUCGCCGAGGCCGCUCUCCCCGACAGAGCCUUGGAGGUAGCCGACCCGGCAAUCUGGUUUCAUGAAGAAGCAAAGGGGGAAAACCCUGCCACGGUGAGAAGCAGAAGCGAGAGGUGCUUGGCUUCAGUGAUCGGGCUUGGCGUGUCCUGCUCAAAGCAGCUGCCAAGGGAGCGGACGGCGAUGCGGGAUGCUGCCGCUGAGAUGCGUGCGAUCAGAGAUGCCUUCCUGGUUCAAUGUGCAACAGAGACUUGGCCUGCAGUCGGCACCACCGGCCUUGGAAGCGCAGACAGUUGAAUGGUGGACGGAGCUACGGUCUCUUGACGCACCAAGGAGCACUGGACUAGCAACUCUGCAACUAAACAGAGUGGAGAAAGAGCCCCUUAAUGAACAGAAAAACAGCCGGUGCAAGGCUUUAUACAAAGAAUGUGACAGCCACUGCGUGUAUCCGAGAGCCUUAUCUAAUCUACCAAGGAUUGUCCAUGUACUCCCUCCGUCCCAAAAUAAACACACAUGUCACUUGUCGAGGAGUCAAACUUUCUAAGUUUGACUAAAAUAAUGUACUACUAUUUAUAAUGUAUAAUAAGUAUCAUUAGAUUGAGUAUUGAGUAUACUUUUCUAAUACAUUUAUUUGAAGAUAUAAAUGUUGAUAUUAUUUUCUAUAUUCUUAAUCAAACUUAAAAACGUUUGACUCUCGAGAAGUGAGAUGUGCGUUUAUUUUAGGAUGGAGGGAGUACCCGUCACACGGAUUAGUUAUGAUAUAAGUAGGGACUAGCAAGCACCAAAACCCCAUUCACUGCCCAUGGAUCGCUCAAAUAAAAGAAACCAUUGCAUAUGGUGGUGAUGCGCUGGCGAGCCUUUCUCCAAACUUUCUGCUCUCGCGGACCUUGAACUCGCAUGGAACAAUUUUAGUGGAAGCGUGCCUCCACCUUUAUGGAGAUUGCGAAGCCUCAUUUACCUGUCCGUGGCAAUAAGCUAGGAUUGAAUGACAAGGACGGAUUGGAAUUCAUCACCAUGCUGGCAAACUGCAGUCAGCUUCAGCAACUGGCUUUUGACAAUAAUUCAUUCAUCGGGGAACUUCCUAGCUCAAUUGCAAAUCUAUGGACAACACUCCAAUUACUCUAUAUAGGAAACAAUUGGAUUUCGGGAUUUAUUCCAUCCAGCAUAGGUAAUUUGGUUGGUCUAGAACUGCUUACGUUGGCAAAUACUUUCAUAUCCGGAGUGAUUCCAGAUAGCAUUGGUCGCCUAGAAGGCAUGUCCGUGUUAGGCAUUUACUACACUAGCUUGUCAGGCAUCAUACCUUCAUCACAAGGAAACCUUACACAGUUGAAAGCUCUCUAUGCGUACGAUAGAAACUUGGAGGGUCCAAUUCCAGCAAGCUUGGAGAACUUAAAGAAUCUUUUUGUCCUUGAUCUCUCAACGAAAGUGUGUAACCUGCUAAGAUUUCAUGUCGAAGUAGAGCAUAAACCUCUCUCAAAAGACUGCGAAGCUACCAUAGAGUAGAUCAGUCUAAGGGUCGGACUAUACCCUAUCAACGCCUCCCCUCUUGCCCUUUCGAUAAGAUUACCCCAAAGGUCCAAACUAGAGUCUUUAAUUAAUUAACCAAGACCAAAGCCAUAUAGUUCUUGUGGUUGUACUAUUUUCCUGGGUGGUCGCUCCAUGUUCCAAUUAAGCAUGGCGGUCUUGUAUUAAUAAAAGGUAUAUCAUAAAUAAAACAAGUUUAAUCAUUGAGUUCAUUAAAACCAUCAUAACCCAAGGUAUUGCAACUAAGCAUAUCUACCCAAUAAAAAGGUAAAACCCAGGUUGACAAGGAAUGAUCAUAAAAACUAGGUCAAUAUUAAAUGCAGAGCAGUGUAGAAGUGAUUAAAUAUAGUUAUUGGUACAAAAACACAAACAAGGACACACUUGCCUUUCUCCAAAGAAUAGCUGCUCAGAUUAUCUUCAGCUCUUGUUCCUCAAAGCUCUCGAACAACGUUCCUUCUACUCGCAUCAAUCAUCGGCACAAGUAUACAAAGCAAACAACAAUCACAACUAAGAACAAUACAUCAAUCAUAGGAAAGCUUUAAAAGAGCGUACUAAAGGAUAAGGCUCGAAUCUAAGGUCACACGAAUGCAAGAAACGCUAGGAACGAAACUAUGGUUGAAAAGACAAAGCUAUCGAGAGAUUUGAAUUAUAAAAGAAAGAAAAGCCUAUGUGCUUCAUAUAUUUUAAUAAUGAAAAUAAUGUAAAGAUAUUUUAGAGAGACAUCCUUAGCAAGUUAUAUUUAUAUAUGAAAAGACGAUGUAGAAUAGUCAAAUUUUCUUUAUAAACAUUCAAGUACAAUUUAUGCAAAUUAAAUAUUUAAUUUGAAAAUAAAGUAUAUGUAAACAUCUAAGCGCAUAGCUUUAUGGUUAUGGUUCGGGUUGAACUAACCAAAUAUAAUUCAAAAACACAAUUAUUUUUAUAUUAGUCAAAUUAACAUAUAAUUAUGAAAACUCGAGAUAUAACUUAUGUAGCUUUUAUUUAGAAAACAAAUUGAAUAAAUAUUAAUCAAUUUAAGUUUAAUUAUGAACCACCGUGGUGCAUCUCUAAUUCGCUUUUAAUUGAAAGAGUUGUUUAAUUAAGCAUUAACUAAAUUAACAUUUAUUAUGAAAAGCGGUUAUAACACUAAGUAGCUUUUAAUUAAAGAAGACAUGUUUAACAUGCAUUAAUUAUAUUAAUAUUAAAUUAAUUUUAAAAACAUGCAUGAUGGAAGGAUCACUACUAACAUGUAAUUUGUGUUAUCACGAACCUAACUCAACAAGAACGGAUAUAAACGAAGCUGUAAUGAGGAGCCUAUGGGUUAAACAAGGUCGUAGGGCCUAAUCACGAUUAACGGAAGGUUAUUGGGGUUAGCAAGGAAGAUUUGCAAGACACUAUAAUAGAGCUCGCCAUUAGGUCAAAGCAUAGGGUUAGAUCUAUUAAAGUGCUCAGGUUGGACUUGGUUGCACGGAUCCAAUCUAAUGAGGGACAUGGAUGAAAAAAACAAGACACAAGGAAAAACUAACUAUUUACAAAGCUUUCCGGGGCCUAUGCGCAAAAGCACCACAACUCAGCAUCCAUGGCGGACGGGCUCCUGGAUGGCAAAAUCCUCGUGUCGGAUUUAUAAGCCCACAGUCCACCAAGGGGUUACCCAAGUCGUUGAUUGUGGCGGAACCGCCCAAAUUAACCUGACUAAAAUGCAUUGAAGUCGCCUGACACGCGAUUAUGCACUUUAAGCAAGUCAACUUGGUCGACCGUCGGAUUUCCUCCGAUAAACCACAUAAACAGGAUCGAGAAGCAUCGCUCACGCGAAGGUGAGUAGCACAGAGGUUACAACAAUCCAUCAUGACAACAUAGUUCAACAAUUUAUUACAUCAGAGUUUUUGAAAUUCAAACCGAAAUUUGCAUGGUUCGAAGUCAAAGGAAAACAGCGGAAACUAAACGUCGAUACAUGACAUCACGACGGAGCCGAUCAUGACAUCAAAAAUUUCUUCCUUCGCCAUCCGAGGAAGGAUCCCACUCGACGGUCCAGCCUGGAGGAAGCUGGGUCGGCCAAGUGGUACCAACACCCAAACUAUUGACAUUACCUGAAAAAGAUUAGCCACAACAAGGCUGAGCAACUAGUACUCAGCAAGACUGACCCGUCGGAAAGACACGACCGAGACCUAGACAUGCAAGGCUUUCUGGCUCUGGGGUUUUCUUUGCCAAAAGCGUCUAAAGUCAGUCCUUAUUUUCAACAUUUUAGCUCAUGUUCUAUGUUCUUUAUCCAUUCUAGAUUAGCAACUUAUACUAAACAAACAUGGUUUCCAAGCAAUUACUUAACAAGCAUCAAGAUUAAAAUCAUCAUCAUCAUGUUCCAUCUUUACUCAGUGCAGAAUAGCGAUCAAGUAGUCCCAAUCUGUGAGAGGCAGACGAAUCGAUUCGAAUUUAUUAACCAUGCAUGGCAAACCUAAUCUCACGACAUCCGCGCACCACGAAGGGUCGCUUCAUUUGUCAGCCGUCCCCAUCGAUCCCUUAGGCACGUGUCAGGGCCAACUUCCUUUGGCAUGCAAUGCUCCACAGUCCUGGCCUAUUGCUGCACUGUGACCGCACUUGCACCCACAUGAUGCACCAUGGGAACGACGUUCCAAGGACAGCCGGAGGGUAUGCCACGCCCCAGUUCAAUCAGGUACUAGGCUUCCCCAUCCCAUACUAGGUAUGAGAUUAGUACUUUCAAACACUUGAUCACGAACGCCGACACGUUUCGACCAUAGUUCAUUUUCAUUUAGACAGACGGGGCAAUCCACCAAGUAUCGAACACAAGCCUGACCCCGUCCGUCGUCCUUAUAGUUGCGACAUAUCUGAAAUAUUCAACUCCUAUAACUCGCGAGUGACAGGAGAUCACUCGACUUUUACCGAAACCUAUUAAGCAAUGCAACUACUCGGCAAGGUCUUCUUCCGGCGCCGGGUGAAGCUCGUACGUUCCGUCGGCGAGAUUCAACUCUACACGAAAAUGCAAUGCUGGGGUUAGACAUUUUAGAUGGUUAUUUCAACACACUCAUGUUUUAACACGGACACUUUGCUACAGGAAAGGUGGGGGAGUUCAACUUCUGUUGGUGGAGAACAGGAUGAGAGGGUCGGAUUGGGGGAAACUUAGGGUCUGACCCUCAGGUUUAAGGAAAAACCGUACCGAGGUCGUCAGACUCAACACAGAGGAAUCCCCAAAAUUAUUUCAUCGUACCCUCGGGUCAAAGAAAAAGUUACAACCGAGCCCUCGGGCGAGGCGGAGAAAGGGUCGGCGAAACUUGGCAGGGUCGGGCGAGGCGAAAGGAAAAAGGUCGGGCGAGAUGAAAAGAAAAGGGGUCGGGCGAACCGAAACAAAGGGGUCGGGCGAAACGAAAAGGAAGGGGUCGGUCGAGAGGGAACACAAGGGGUCGGUCGAGACGGAACACAAGGGGUUGGUCGCUUACCUCCAGGUCUACCGGUGAAGCCUUGGGGCCGAACAGGAGUAGGCUGGGGUGGGAAGUCGUACACGCUAAGUCUUGGGCAACGGCGAGUCUUCGACGGUGGUCAGGUGGCGGUGGUGCUUCUUGCGGACACCAGCAAGCUCGAGUACCGUGCGGAGGAGCGGGCGGCUGGUCUGUUGGGAGAAACGGCUUGAGGGUGGCGGCGAAGUCGCCGAAGUGUGGGGGUGGUGUAAAAGGGGUGAGCUCCACGGAAGCUCAGCGGCGGCGCGGGGAGAAAGCGGCGGCGCAGGUGCGGGCGGUGGCAAGGGGUGGCAUUGCCGGUGAGGGGGGUUCCCUUUUAUAGGGUCGGGGUGGCGCGGAGGGUCGAGGCGGGGCUUCGGUGGGGAAAGGAUAAGGCCGGGAGCGGCGAGUGCGCGGACAAGGCGGCCAUUGGCCAGCAACGCCAUUGGGCAGAGGAGGUGGAGCUCCGGGUGGUCUUCGGCGGCGAUUGGCCUUGGGCGACGCCCGUCUGGGGCUUCCGGUCUGUCGGGCGGGCGAGGCGGAGAGCUACCGUGGGGGUUGGGCGAACGGGCGGAGGCGCGGGAUGUCGGGGGCGUGUCAGCUUUCUCGGCGGACGGGCGGAACAGGGUUGGCGGAGCAGAGCCGUGGCAGGCGGAAGGCGGCACGCGCGCAGCCGGCGGUUGGCUGGCCCGGCGUUCGCUCCGUCCUGUCGCAGGCGCGGGUUGGGCGCCGUGGCUCUCGUCCUGUCGCUGUCGUGCUGGGGAUAGGGCGCCGGCGAGCUGCCGGUGGCCGGCGGCCACGUGGCGCGCGGUGCGCGAGCGAACAUGCUCGGGCGUGCGGGCGUCGAGGCUCCCUUCGGGCAGCAAGCCCGACCAGCUUUGGAGUGAUCCUUCCUCCGAAUCUUUCAACACAACUUCCGAAACUCCCUUAAACAAACUUGCUCAACUCUGAUUGUUCUUCAAACUUUGUUUAAGGUGCUGGUUUAGAUUGUGAAAGGAUUCAAAGAUAUUUCCGGCCAAGUUAGCCAAAAAUCUGGGAUUCCAGACUUAGGAUUUAAGGCAUCCGGGGUGAGUUGACUGGUUUACCUCACUUUGACCGGGAUUUUGAACAAGUUCGGGUCCGAUUUGGAUCUGGGUCAGAGUAACAAAGUUGGAAUACACUCGAGGUACUACAACUUUCAUUAAGGCUCUGACUUGGGUUUAGAUAGGAAAACGGGAUAUGAAAGCUUGUAAAGAUGGAGGAAAACUCGAAUUCCAGGACUUAAGAGAUUUUCAGGGUCCUUUAGAAAAACCGGCUUUGGUUGCUGUUUUUGACUUCCUUCCACUCCGAAUUGGUCAAAGUGCUUUUAACAAAAGUUGUUGGAAUUAAAAAGUUUUACAACUCUUAUUUGGGCAGAAACUUAAGUUUGUAUAUAAUAUUUCAAGAUUUAAAUCAAACUCCAAAAGGAGCUUCUUAGGUUUAUAAAGGUCAUUUCACUUCUUAAAUUAGGGAUUUAUCACUGGUUUAGAGUUAAAAGUACUUAAUUUAGGUAGAGUUGUUACAGCCUACCCCCCUUAAAGGAAUCUUGCCCCGAGAUUCAAGUGCAGAAGGAACUAGUGUGGUUGGUGCAAUGUACCUCCUUGCUCGAAAAGAAAACCGCGGAAGUUAGCGUUGAGGUACUCUUCCGUCUCCCAGGUCGCUUCAUCUUCCGUAUGGUUACUCUACUGAAUUUUGUACAUCUUGACCAUUUGCCGACGAGUAUGUCUUUCCUUGCGGUCGAGGAUCUUAACAGGAUACUCCUUAUAUGAUAAAUCGGGUUCGAUCUCCAAUUCUUCCGGGGGAAUGAUUUCAGUUGGAAUCCUGAUGCACUUCUUAAGUUGCGAGACAUGGAAAACAUCAGGUAUUGCUACAAUCUUCUCUGGAAGUUUAACUCGGUACGCUAUGGGUCCACACGCCUCUACGAUCUCAUAGGGACCAAUAUAGCGCGGAGCUAACUUUCCCUUUACUCCAAAACGUUGUACACCUUUGGUCGGUGAAACCCGUAGGUAUACAAAAUCCCCAACCUUAAAUUGGAUGGGUCUUCUUCUUUGAUCGGAAUAGCUCUUGUGUCGAGAUUGGGCGGCCUUGAGAUUUUCGCGGAUGACUCUCACUUUUUCUUCGGCCUCUAUGACCAGGUCAGGUCCAUACACCGUUCGCUCUCCGGGUUGCGACCAGCUCAGUGGGGUCCGGCAUCUACGUCCAUACAAGGCCUCGAAAGGUGCCAUUUUCAGGCUAGCUUGGUAACUGUUGUUGUAGGAGAAUUCCGCUAAUGGCAAAUACCCCAGUUCUUGUCAUAAUGAAUAACACAGGCGCGUAACAUAUCUUCCAAAAUCUGAUUAACCCUUUCAGUUUGCCCGUUGGUCUGAGGAUGAUAUGUGGAACUACGGAUCAAUUGAGUGCCAAGUGAAAACUGCAACUGCUCCCAAAAGCGUGCUACAAACUGACUACCUCGAUCAGAGAUGAUCAUUUUAGGUACUCCAUGCAAGGAAACAAUCCGAUCAAGGUACAAUUCUGCAUAUUUCUGUAUGGUGUGGGUGGUGUGUACUGGAAGGAAAUGUGCCGUUUUGGUUAGUCGGUCUACUAUAACCCAUAUGGAGUCAUGCUUGCGGGGGGUAUUGGGUAGUCCGACUAUAAAGUCCAUGCUUAUGUCUUCCCAUUUCCACGAGGGAAUAGGCAGCGGCUGCAAGGGGCCAGCUACCCUCAAGUGGCUUGCCUUGACUCGCUGACAGGUAUCACACUCUGAAACAUAGCGUGCAAUGUCGGGUUUCAUCCCACUCCACCAGAAAUUUUGUCGGAGGUCGUGAUACAUCUUGGUAUUGCCGGGGUGAAUCGAGAACUUGGAUAGGUGUGCUUCGUGCAGAAUUUGUCUCUUAAGCUCGGGAUCAUUUGGAACUACAAGUCGAGCUUCAUAAUGUACCACUCCUUUCCAGCCCUGUCGGAAACGUUUAUAUCCCUCAUCCUUCUGUGCAAGUUUCCCUUUGAUAAUGUUUAUCUCUUUGUCCUCUAGCUGUGCUAGAAUGAUUUGGUCAAGUAGGGUGGGCUCUAGAGAAAUAUGACUUAAGGUGUCGUGUGGAACAAUUUCCAAGUUGAGUCUAGCCAUUUCGUGACACAGGGUCUCGGCAUAAUUACUCGCCGAUAAGCAGUUACAAUGGAUCUUGCGGCUAAGGGCAUCUGCAACUAUGUUGGCUUUUCCUAGGUGAUAAUGCACUUCUAGGUCAUAAUCCUUGAUUAAUUCUAGCCAUCACCGCUGAUGCAUGUUGAGGUCUUCUUGAGUGAAUAUAUACUUAAGGCUCUUGUGAUCUGUAUAGAUGUUGCAUCGGGUUCCCAUGAGUUAAUGCCUCCAUAUUUUCAGAGCAUGAACGACUGCCGCUAACUCAAGAUCAUGAGUAGGGUAAUUCAACUCAUGUGGUCGUAAUGCUCGCGAGGCAUAGGCAAUGACUCGGCUGUCUUGCAUAAGAACACAACCAAGUCCAGUGCCAGAGGCAUCGCAAUACACAUCAAAUGGCCUAGUGGUGUCGAAAACUUCGAAUCUGAUGAACUGAAGUGGGCGGCUUCCAGUCCAUUACUUCUUGCACCUUGCUUGGGUCUACUGCUAUACCGUCUCUGGAUAUGGUGUGUCCCAAGAAUUUAACACUGUCCAGCCAAAAGUCACACUUAGAGAAUUUGGCAUAGAGUUGGUGGUCUCUUAAGCGUUGGAGUAAAGUAUGUAGGUGCUCUGCAUGUUUUUCUUCAUUCUUCGAGUACACCAAGAUGUCGUCAAUGAAUACCACGACGAAUUUGUCGAGUUCGGGCAUAAACACCGAAUUCAUGAGGUACAUGAAAUAAGCCGGUGCAUUAGUAAGCCCAAAUGACAUGACUAAGUACUCGUAGAGUCCAUAUCGUGUAGAAAAGGCAGUCUUUGGAAUGUCGCACGGGCGGAUCUUGAUUUGAUGGUAGCCAGAACGGAGGUCAAUUUUGGAAAACACUCUAGCUCCAGCUAAUUGGUCGAACAGAACAUCAAUGCGGGGUAGUGGGUACUUAUUCUUUAUCGUCACCGCAUUGAAAGGUCGGUAGUCCACACACAUACGCAGACUAUCGUCCUUCUUUUUCACAAACAAGGCAGGGCAACCCCAAGGUGAUGUACUUGGGCGAAUAAAACCCUUUUCCAACAAAACAUGCAACUGAGUUUUCAUUUCUGCUAGUUCGGCUGGUGGCAUCCGGUAUGGUCUCUUUGAAAUUGGGGCGGUACCUGGUUGCAACUCAAUGGCAAACUCGAUGUCUCUCUCAGGCGGCAUACCCGGCAAAUCGUCUGGAAACACAUCCGGGUACUCGCACACUACUGGGAUAUCUUCCAAUCGGGCUUUAGACACGGGAUAGGCACAAGAAGUUUGGCACUCUCGGGGAGGUAAGUGUAUAGUCGAGCUACCAUACUUGGGUGAAUUUAUAUGGAUUGCCCUGGCAGGGAUAUCUAGGGUCACUUGGUGUCGGGUCAUCCAAUCCAUACGCAAGAUAACAUCUAUUCCUUCUAUCCCAAGGGUAAGCAGAUCUUCCUUAAGAAGGGUCCUCCCUAACUGGAUAGGUACUCUGCAGCUUACUUGGUGUGAAGUUACCUUUCCACCCGGGGUAGAGAUUAUGUAGGUACCUUUGGUGUGACAGAAAUCUAACCCACACUUAGCACUGAUUCUAGUCCCAAUGAAACUAUGAGAUGCUCCCGAAUCAAACAGAAUAAGGACGGGUUGAUCACAGAUAGAAAAGGUACUCGUCAUCACUGGUGCGCCCUCUGGAAGUUCAGCAAGGGUGGUGAAGUUCAGCCUGCCUUGUCGGACCUGCACCUUUGGCUUCUUCCCCUUGUUGCCCAGUGUAUGGCUCUGACUGGGUCGUUGAUUCUGGUUGCGGGGGCAGUCCUUGGCGAAGUGUCCUGGGUUCCCGCAAGUGAAACAGCGGUUUCCAGUGACCGGGCGCAGCGGCAUCGGGAGAGCAGGGCGGGGUCCUUGCGGCUGGAAUCCGGGGAAACGAGGUGCUGCCUGCGGUGGAGGUCGAGCAACCCAUCUCCCAGGCUGUGCGGGCGUGCGAGGUGCUUGUGGGGAAACCAUUCUGUACUUCUGGGCAGGCGGGCUGGGUGCCGGCAUUGGGGCCUUCCUUUUCAUGUCGGCCUUGAGGGCCCUCAUGCAAUCUUCCUGGGAAAUGGCCAGGUUCACCAGUUCAUUGUAGGAACCCACUUUGAUGGGAUUCAGCCUUUCCUUGAGCUUCAAACUCAAGCCUCUGCGGAAACGGUCCCUCUUUUUCUCAUCGGAGUCCGCAUGGUAGCCUGCAUAGCGACACAGGUCAUUGAAAGCCUGCGCAUAGUGCAGACAUCGCGGCCUCCCUGGGUGAGAGCCAGGAACUCGUUGAGCUUGCGCUCCAGAAGACCUUCAGGGAUGUGAUGGCCCCUGAACGCCGUCUUGAAUUCCUCCCAACCGACGACGUGGUCGGCCGGCUGCAUGGCAUGGUAGUGAUCCCACCACAGGAGAGCAGAACCACGCAACUACUGCGCGGCGAACCGAACCUUGUUCUCGUCCGGGCAGUAGGCGGUGAGAAGGGAGAACUUGGACUCGAUAGUGCGAAUCCAGGCAUCGGCGUCAAGUGGGUCCUCCGUCUUGUGAAAUAGAGGAGGCUGGGUCCCCAGAAAAUCUUCGUAACGAGCAACAUGGGGCUGUUGAUGGGCCCUUCCUCCCUGAGGCUGCUGCUGCUGCUGCCCCUGAGCGAUGUGCCUCAACAGCUCGGUCUGGGCUGCCAAGAUCGACUCGAGGGUGGUCGGAGGCGGAGGUGGGGGAGGCACCUCGCUGCCACUGGGAACGGAGCCGGAGCGUGUGCGAUGCGCCAUCCUUGGGCGAGCCAAAACCUUAUCCCCGGGGUCUCACUAAUUCCGACCUCUGGUGCCGGGGUCGGGCGAAACGGAGCUUCUCAACACGGGAUCGGACAAAACGGAGCCUUUCAUCCCGGGGUCGGGCGAGGCGGAGACCUGCCGCGAGGGGUCGGGCGCGUCCGACCUCGCGACUCGGGGUCGGUCAACUUUGGACAGGCCCACAGGAGACGGGUGUGUGGUCACAGCACCAAAACCCACACAACUUGGCAUUCACGGCGCGUCGCAAAGGGUCAAAAGUCGAGUCAAGAGUGAAAGAAAAACAGGAACUGCUUUCACCAAGAUCAUUUCAUUGCUGGUCUUAAAAUAUAGGAGGAGUACUCAACUCAAGGCUAACCUAUUACAUCAUUGGCCAAAAAUAUAGGUCGUCGAGGAGUACAAUCAAAAAUAAAAUAGAACCGCUCAACCUAGUUUGUUAUAACUAGAAGUCGUCGAGGUUGCCCACGGAGGCAAAGCUAAGGACCGGAGAGUGAGCAUCACCAACUGGAGGCUGCGGUGAGGCAUUCUCAUAGUCCAUGCUUGAAAAGCCUUCGAUCUCCUCAGGCUCCUCCUCCUGGGCCAUCGGCUCAUCCAGCUGCACCUCUAAGGCGUGGAUGGCAUUAAGCUCAUCGUGAUGCUCCUGCAGGUGCUCAUUGGCGUUCGCCAGCUCCAUGUUCACAUCAUAGAACUGGUCAGCCAAGAUCUCCAUAUCGUGAUCCAUAUCCACAAUCUCUUCCUCCAAACGAGUAAUCUUGUCCUGCAUCUCAGCAAUCUGAACAUCCUUCUGUACCAGCUCGAGCGACUGGUCCACCAUGCCACUCUGCACGGUAGACAAGGCAACCUGGUUGGCCACUGCCAUCCCAAUCACCAUAGCCAUCGCUCGGCUCUGCAGCUCAACCAUCCUGUAGAACACAUUCAGGCAACGAGCUGAAACAAAAAUCGUGCACUGAGGAUCCAUAAGCCCGAGCAAGUCCAUAUGCUCCAUACGAUCCAACCAGUCCGGGUCCCUCGUACCCCGGGCAGGGAACAACCCAAUCGGGUCUAGCAUGAUCUCAAGAGGGUGUGCCCAGCAAAACUGGGUCAAGGUCUGCAAGGCUGCGAACUCCCAGGCGUCGUGGAGCGUGUGUCCCUCAGCCACUACCUCCAACAGCGACAACGGUGGCUGAUCCGGAGGCGGGGGUACCCGCACGUGUAUGCGGCUCCGCGGAAUCCCGUGGUCCUGGUACGCACGGCCCGCAUAAACCGGCGGCGACUGGUACCCGAAAGAGCGCAGGGUGUCCCACAACACAGUUGGAAAACCCUCGUAGUGAAGGCACCGUGAGUAGGUGGUGCCCUCCGUACCGACUGCCACGUGCACGGGCUGCGCCAUCUGUAACCAAGGGUCACGUGAGAAAUGGGGUUAACACUUGGAAAUCAAACAGAUUUCUGGCAGUUAGAGAAAAGCUCAUAACUCAGCAAGUAUUCCUCCAAAAUUUCUCAAAUUUUACCAGCAUGUUCUUUAGAUAGUGGGUAACAAGUUUGGUAUUCAAAGGUAGGGCUAGAACAGACCUAACAAGGUGAUAAUCUCAGAUUCCCAUUAAGUAUACCUGCUGGAACUCUUCAGACCGAGUCAAGAUAAACUGAAUACAUCUUCCAAACCAGAGACUUAACAAAACCGAAACUCUACCAGUAAGUCCUUCACUAAGUUCUAAAAAACUCUGCUUAAAGGACUCCUCGCAGAAAAGGUCCUUAAGGUGGUCGAAAUAGCAGAAACUCCGUUGGUGUGCACUUUGGGCUAACAGCCAACAGGGGGUCACCAAACUGAUCACAACUCUCAACCCAAAUGGUAGUACCUUGAGGCAGUUUUACUUGGGAGUUUUAACACAACUUUCUUAUACAAAGUUUCUGGAGUUAGCAUGGCGGAAAAAGGACAGCUAGACAAUCCUUAACGCGGUGCAUUACUUUUUACGACGUACUCGAGUUUGGUUUUAUUUCCUUAGGUUGUGAUUUUUAUUUCUUAAUGCAUGCACGUCCUAGUCGUCCUCUCAACCAAAAAUAAUUUCCAAAAACCUUUGGACUUACGUGGUCAGUGCCGGUGGCAAGGCAACAAUACGGCUCUCACUAUAAUAGCUAGUCGAGUUACUAGGCCUCGUUUCGAACGCAACGUUUGUUAGUGUACCUGCAGAAAAACACAACACAGCUUGAACCUUCCGUGCCAGCACUCAUGAAAGCGUCCACAAUCAUUACCGUUCACUAUAGAAAUGGCACCCAUGCGUUUAACACUGCAUGGACAGUGCAACAACCGUGGAAAUAGGUUCCUUUGAAUAGAAUCCUAUAACCCUUCGCAUUCUCGUGAUGCAGAAUCAUGCACACGUGUAACAAACGUGGGCGAACAACCGUGACGAUAGGCUCGUUGGAAUCGAACCAUACCAUCCUUCGCAUGUAUUAACAUACGGAACCUGCGCACGUAUAAUAGAUGUGGGCGAAACAACCGUGAUGAUAGGCUCGUUGGAAUCGAAUUCCCAUCACCCUUCGCAUACUCGCGAUGCGGAUUUCGGCACACGUAUGAUAGACAUGGCAACAAGUGCUGGAAGUUAGAAGAUAACCAAUAACUAUUAGCCACCUUAAAAAUAACCCCAAAAUCCCCUAGGGCUCCUCGAACUAAACUCAUCCUUAGCGAACUUACGAAUUUCUCAAUUUUACUUCUUCCAAAUUUUAGUUGGAAAAAGAGUUUUAAGGUUUGUUGUUCUCCGUACUGUGCUUCGAGCUCUGAUACCAGCUGUGGCGGAACUGCCCAAAUUAACCUGACUAAAAUGCAUUGAAGUCGCCUGACAUGCGAUUAUGCACUUUAAGCAAGUCAACUUGGUCGACCGUCGGAUUUCCUCCGAUAAACCACAUAAACAGGAUCGAGAAGCAUCGCUCACGCGAAGGUGAGUAGCACAGAUGACAACAUAGUUCAACAAUUUAUUACAUCAGAGUGUUUGAAAUUCAAACUGAAAUUUGCAUGGUUCGAAGUCAAAGGAAAACAGCGGAAACUAAACGUCGAUACAUGACAUCACGACGGAGCCGAUCAUGACAUCAAAAAAUUUCUUCCUUCGCCAUCCGAGGAAGGAUCCCACUCGACGGUCCAGCCUGGAGGAAGCUGGGUCGGCCAAGUGGUACCAACACCCAAACUAUUGACAUUACCUGAAAAAGAUUAGCCACAACAAGGCUGAGCAACUAGUACUCAGCAAGACUGACCCGUCGGAAAGACAUGACCGAGACCUAGACAUGCAAGGCUUUCUGGCUCUGGGGUUUUCUUUGCCAAAAGCGUCUAAAGUCAGUCCUUAUUUUCAACAUUUUAGCUCAUGUUAUAUGUUCUUUAUCCAUUCUAGAUUAGCAACUUAUACUAAACAAACAUGGUUUCCAAGCAAUUACUUAACAAGCAUCAAGAUUAAAAUCAUCAUCAUGUUCCAUCUUUACUCAGUGCAAAAUAGCGAUCUAGUAGUCCCAAUCUGUGAGAGGCAGAAAAUCGAUUCGAAUUUAUUUACCAUGCAUGGCAAACCUAAUCUCACGACAUCCACGCACCACGAAGGGUCGCUUCAUUUGUCAGCCGUCCCCAUCGAUCCCUUAGGCACGUGUCAGGGCCAACUUCCUUUGGCAUGCAAUGCUCCACAGUCCUGGCCUAUUGCUGCACUGUGACCGCACUUGCACCCACAUGAUGCACCAUGGGAACGACGUUCCAAGGACAGCCGGAGGGUAUGCCACGCCCCAGUUCAAUCAGGUACUAGGCUUCCUCAUCUCAUACUAGGUAUGAGAUUAGUACUUUCAAACACUUGAUCACGAAGGCCGACACGUUUCGACCAUAGUUCAUUUUCAUUUAGACAGACGGGGCAAUCCACCAAGUAUCGAACACAAGCCUGACCCCGUCCGUCGUCCUUAUAGUUGCGACAUAUCUGAAACAUUCAACUCCUAUAACUCGCGAGUGACAGGAGAUCACUCGACUUUUACCGAAACCUAUUAAGCAAUGCAACUACUCGGCCUUAGCAACUAGUAUUCAAAAACAAGGUACUAAGUUUAUGCAUCUAAGGUUCCAUUACAACUCCUCGAAACGUAAAUGCGCAAUCAAGUAAUCAAUAAUAUUGCAUGAACUCAAGAUAGGAAUUUAUGCUCCGGGGCUUGCCUUCAGGAAAAGCUUGCGGGUCCUCGGGGUCUUGCUCCGGUUCGGGCUCUCCUUCGAAGGGAUGCAGUUCCUCGGCGGGGUCUUCUUUCGGCGCCGGGUGAAGCUCGUACAUUCCGUCGGCGAGAUUCAACUCUACACGGAAAUGCAAUGCAGAGGUUAAACAUUUUAGAUGGUUAUUUCAACACACUCAUGUUUUAACACGGACACUUUGCUACAGGAAAGGUGGGGGAGUUCAACUUCUGUUGGUGGAGAACAGGAUGAGAGGGUCGGAUUGGGGGAAACUUAGGGUCUGACCCUCAGGUUUAAGGAAAAAUCGUACCGAGGUCCUCAGACUCAACACAGAGGAAUCCCCGAAAUUAUUUCAUCGAUACCCUCAGGUCAAAGAAAAAGUUACAACCGAGCCCUCGGGCGAGGCGGAGAAAGGGUCGGCGAAACUUGGCAGGGUCGGGCGAGGCGAAAGGAAAAAGGUCGGGCGAGACGAAAAGAAAAGGGGUCGGGCGAACCGAAACAAAGGGGUCGGGCGAAAUGAAAAGGAAGGGGUCGGUCGAGACGGAACACAAGGGGUCGGUCGAGACGGAACACAAGAGGUCGGUCGCUUACCUCCAGGUCUACCGGUGAAGCCUUGGGGCCGAACAGGAGUAGGCUGGGGUGGGAAGUCGUACGCGCUAAGGCUUGGGCAGCGGCGAGACUUCGACGGUGGUCCGGCAGCGGCGGUGCUUCUUGCGGACACCAGCAAGCUCGAGUACCGCGCGGAGGAGCGGAUGGCUGGUGUGUUGGGAGAAACGGCUUGAGGGUGGCGGCGAAGUCGCCGGAGUGUGGGGGUGGUGCAAAAGGGGUGAGCUCCACGGAAGCUCAGCGGCGGCGCGGGGAGAAAGCGGCGGCGCAGGUGCGGGCGGUGGCAAGGGGUGGCAUUGCUGGUGAGGGGGUUCCCUUUUAUAGGGCCGGGGUGGCGCGGAGGGUCGAGGCGGGGCUCCGGUGGGGAAAGGAUAAGGCCGGGAGCGGCGAGUGCACGGGCAAGGCGGCCAUUGGCCGGCGACGCCAUUGGGUAGAGGAGGCGGAGCUCUAGGUGGUCUUCGGCGGCGAUUGGCCUUGGGCGGUGCGCGUCUGGGGCUUCCGGUCUGUCGGGCGGGCGAGGCGGAGAGCUACCGUGGGGGUUGGGCGAACGGGCGGAGGCGCGGGAUGUCGAGGGCGUGUUAGCUUUCUUGGCGAACGGGCGGAACAGGGUUGGCGGAGCAGAGCCGUGGCAGGCGGAAGGCGGCACGCGCGUGGCCGGCGGUUGGCUGGCCCGUUCGCUCCGUCUUGUCGCAGGCGCGGGUUGGGCGCCGUGGCUCUCGUCCUGUCGCUGUCGUGCUGGGGAUAGGGCGCUGGCGAGCUGCCGGUGGCCGCUAGAUUUUUCUCACUAUGAAUAUAAUUCAUAGCAAUUACUUUGGAGUUUUUCAGCUUUCUAACAGAUUUAAGCCUCCGCUUCACAUGCCUCGAGGACUUCAUAUUAUCCUUAGUACUCAUAACUUUGAUCAAUACCGUUUGGUUAUCAUAGUACAUAAGGAUUGCCGGAACUGGUUUCUCCACCAGUGGCAAGUCCAUGAGUAGCUCUCUUAGCCACUCGGCCUCAACAGUAGCCGUGUCAAGUGCUACAAGCUCAGCUUCCAUGGUUGACCACGUCAAAAUGGUCUGUUUACACGACCUCCAUGAAACUACAGCACCUGCUAGUGUAAACAUAUAGCCACUCGUGGCUUUAAUUUCAUCCGCAUCAGAAAUCUAGUUGGAAUCACUAUAUCCUUCCAAUGCAGAUGGAUAACCAGUAUAGUGAAUUCCAUAUUCGAUUGUACCUCUCAUGUAACGUAGCACUCUCUCUAGUGCCUCCCAAUGAUCCUUCCCUGGAUUGGAAGUUAAACGACUUAAUUUGCUCACAGCAAAAGAUAUGUCGAGACAUGUUGCACCAGCAAGAUACAAAAGGGACCCAAUUAUUUGUGAAUAUCUCAAAUGGUCCAUCCCUUCAUCUUUAUUUUUCCUUAGCUUUACACUAGCAUCGUAGGGUGUAGGGGAUACUUUUGCAUUUUCAAAGCAAAAGCGACAAAAUAAUUUUUUCACAUAAUGAGAUUGAUUUAGAAUAAUCCCAUUCUCAUUUUUGGUCAACUUAAUAUUUAGGAUAACACUUGCUUCUCCCAGAUCCUUCAUGUCGAAGCCUGAAGAUAAGAAUGAUUUGACCUUCAAGCCCACUGCACACCGAAUUCGAAGGUCGACAAGGCGCCAUAGCAAGAGAUUCAGCACAGCGAGUGGGAAGACGAGCGUGUAACAGCGUCCAUUCAACCAGGACAUCUCCUGGUGUUAUAGACCUUCGUAGUGCAUCAGUUUCCCCAUCAAACAGCCUCAUCAAGCAGUAGAAACUGCCAAUUUGAACGAUAGAAACGGCUUCCAUCAAAUUGUUGAAACUGACACACCUUAUUGCUGUUUAAAACGGCAAUUUCAAUCACAUUGAAUUGCCAUUAGGCUCAGCAUAAAAAAAAUAAUAACUGCACAAACAAUAGUCACAACUCACGCGAUUUUCCACGUGAAAAUGUGCGUGAGCUUCAUGUGCGUGUAGCAACAAUCUCCUUCUCUCUCAUUUGCAUCUAUUUUGCAUAGAGAGGAGACUCCCAUAUUUAAGCAAGGCAACCUCUCCUUGAAUUAGCAAUAUAAGACUAAAGGUUGUGUAUGCUUUGGAAUUUUCUAAUUGGGCCACAUAUGGGCCUAAAUCCAAGACGGUGAAGGUUCUUCUAUCUCAACUCAAGGUGACGUUUAUAGCCUCGGCAUAUUGCUUCUUGAGAUGUUUACUGGAAGGAGCCCAACGGAUGAGAUGAGAUAUUCAAUGAUUCUUUGGAUUUGCACAAGUUUUCAGCGAAUGCUCUUCCAGAGAGAAAACGGGAUAUAGUUGAUCCGACAAUAUGGAUGCACACAGAUGCCUAUAACAGCACUAUAAGAAGUGGAAUUAAGAAUUGCUUGCUUUCUGUUGUUUGUCUUGAAAUAUCAUGCUCGAAGAAACAACCUAGGGAGCAGAUCCCGAUUCAGGAUGCAGCCAUUGAGAUGCACGCUAUUAGAGAUUCGUAUCUCAAGUUUGCCAGAUCUCUUUUGGUGGAGCAUGGAGUAGUAGCAACAACUCACAGUGAUUUCCCACAACAGUGAAUACAUAGGACUGAAAAUGGGCAAGAUGUUGCAGGUGAUCAGUUUACCUGAAAUAACUGAAGAUGUAUGAAGCUUCAGCUUUAUAAUUCGUCCAUGCAUUUGUUUGCAUCAGAUAUAUGGAAGUAUAAAAUAAGUUUAGAAAAUGUUUCAAAAUAGAUUAGAUCCAGAGGUUUUACUUGUCGUCUGUAUGACACAUUUUUUGUAGAGAAUUCAGUAAUAUGUAUGAUUCAUAAUACAAUCAAUGCUCUACAAAUUUCAAUAGCACAAUUGGAAUAAAAAGCUCAUUCAUUGAUUAUGUUGCUCUAGGUAACUCAACUUAUUGUGAUGUUCACUGUAGAUUUCUCCAUGGUCCAAACGACCUUUGUGAUCAGUUAUGUUUAUGCAUUUUGUAGAAUUGUAAAGUCUUUCCCUAACCUGCUGACGUAUCAGCCGGAGCAUGAGAAGGGGGUGCACCAAAUAUGGGAUGAGAUGGAGAGGAGUGAAUCAGGCCCAGAUCAACGAUCAUUUACUAUUAUGGUUUAUGGUCUUCAUUCCCAAGAAAAGCUUGAUGAGGCUCUGCAAUAUUACACAACAAUGAAGUCAAGAGGGUUGAUCCCUGAACCAAGGACCAAGAUACUGGUGAAAGCUAUACAUAUGAAGAAAGAUGGGGCUGUCACAGAAGAUCAGUCUGCAAAUAUGACAGGGAAGAAUCUAAAACUGGAUCCACGAUCUAGCCUAUUCCAUGUUCAUAAAUAGUUUGCUGUCAGAUCUUACUUCUAUAACCUCAACAGAGGAUUGCUGGGCACGUAUUAUGUGUCAAAAGAAUCUCUUCUACCAGUGUCCAGAUCACAAUGGCCACACCUUGGGCUACAAUAAAUCAUCAGAAAAGUGUAUUGGCAUCAUGUAUCCCAGAAAGUUUUGCUCAGACUUUCAAUGCCAGGGUAUGUUUUUCAUGUCUGAUAUGGAUCAAUUAUAUUGCAAGUACUGUAUUACACGCUCGUAUUAUGAAGGUUAUGUGAAAUAUGACAGAUGUUUGUUUAUUCAUCUGUUAUGCAUGGCUGUGUCUACUGUCUAGCUGUUGGCUUGUUGCCAACAUAUGCAGCAGCAGGUAGCUUCAGCCGCUCAGAAGCCCAAAUGAAGGAUGGCCCAGGCAGAAUAGCUAUGUCUAGACCCAGAAAGCUUAGGACAUGUCUUGCCAGCCUGCAGUUUUGUACUCGUAGCACCAACCAUCUCCGGGUUCUGGCCGGUUAUAUACAUGGUCUGGACUCUGGAAUGGGCAUCCGCUGAUCGAUUGAAACCUUGAGCUGCUUCCGUGUUUGUCUUUUACCAUCUAUAUAUUAUGGUUAGUCAACGGCAUGCAGUACACCCAUGCAUAUGAUUGCAGUAGGAUGACAUGGCGCGACCAGAACCCUUCUUUUGCCAGUUUUAGAUUCUUAUACACGGCCAACUGACGCAGCAGGGAGUUGCAUGCUAAGCAGUUCAGCGUAGGUGGUGAGUUCUCAACUCUGAUAUGGCUUAUGGAAGAACACUGUCACGGUGUUACCUAGCCGGUUGGAGGCCAACCUCUUACUAGGGACAGCAAUGGCCCUGUCCGGCCACUGUUUCGUGGCUGGUAUUAUUACCCCUAUGCAGUGAAUAUGACAUGUGGAUCUAUGUGUAUAUUAUGUCGUCAAAAGAACAUUAUAUGAACCGUUGAUCCACCUUUGAUUCUAUUAAUGUGUCAUGGUCAAUUGAUGUCAAACUCUAUUAUCUUCAAGUCUUAUUGUAUUGAUAAAAUCACGAUGCUGCUACUGCCAUUUUGAUGUUUAUAAAAGGGUAUUGAGAACCUGGUGGGUAUCCAUUGGAUGCGCAGGGUUGAUGGUGGGGAAAAAUGAGUGUAAAGGACAGGGAUGCAGUAUUUAGAAAGAUGGGGCUGCCACAGAAAAUAGUCUCCAAGUAUGGCAGGGAAGAAUCUAAAACUGAAUCCUUGAUCAAGACUGUCCCAUAUUCAUAAAUAGUUCACUGACAGAUCUUGCUUCCAUAUUCUGAACAGCUGAUGCUGGGCACAUAGGAGGUUAACCGGUCAGCGGAUCAAAGAAAAUCCACAAUGGCCUCAUCUUGGGUUAGAGACAAUCAUCGGUAAAGAAUCAUAUUGCCGGAUAAGGAUAUCUGUGAUUGGUGGGUGCAGAUCCAUGCUCAUUCAAGAAACACAUGAUUCUUUACGGAUGAUCAUCUCUCAGCACACCCUGCUGAUAAGGUUAUCUGAGAUUGGUGGGUGCAGAUCCUAGAAACAAGCUAGGGCUGAAUGCGCCGCUGUACUUGGAUGUUGUGGUGACACCGUAAUGAUUGUGUGUUUAACGGAGUUUCCCAUAGUGACUAGCGUGCAGGCCGUCCUCGUAUUUGAGAAAAAAAUCAAUGGGCGAAAUGUUUUCACCCAGGUAAUUGUUGCAUUGUAUGAAUAGGCUUAGAUACCUGGUUACUGUGACACAAGAAGAUUUAUCAUAUCUAUCUAUGAAUUAGUGUUAAAUCUCCUACAUAAAUAUCUUCUCUUAUCUCACUUUAUGUAUAUAUAUGACACAGAAGCACAUGUAUAUCGGCAUUGUAGAGAUAGAGAUGAGAGAGAAGCUUAUCUGCUUUUUGGAGAUAAAUAUUCAAAUUACUAGUGUAUGAGAGGGAUAGAAUUAUUCUAUCAUAUUGUUUAUUCAACAUCUAAAAAGAUUCCAUGUUUAGUCAUCUAUAUCGGCGUUGUAGAGAGAGAGACUAGUGUUCAUCUGGUUGGAAGGAUGAGAGAGAGAGGAGAGAGUUUGGAUGAGAUAGAGAGAUAGUGUUCAGCUGGUUGGAAGGAUGAGAGAGAGAGAGAGGAGAGUUUGGAUGAUAGAGAGAUUAGUGUUCACUUGGUUGGAAGGAUGAGAGGGAGAUGAGAGAGUUCGGAUGAGGAGGUAGAGAGUUCGGAAGAGAGAGAGAGGUGAGAGUUCGGAUGAGAGGUGUGAGAGAGGUGAGAGUUCGGAUGAGAGAUAAAGUAGCUUAUAAGGAUGAGAGAGAGAAAGCGGUAUUCAGCUGGAUGGUGGAGACUUCAUAUAUUACUAAUAAUGCAUCCAAACAACAUUUAAAAUUUAAUUCUAAGAAAAACUUUCUCGGUAAAUCAAAACAAGAAAAUUCAAUUGAAUCAAAUUCUACGGAAUCCAUUUCCUAUGAAAUCUAAUUGCUAGAAUAUGAUUCAUGGAAUGAGUUCCAAUUCUAGAGAUCCAAACGGGCCCUAAGAGAAUUGUAGUGAUCAACUCCCAAGUUGCAAUAUAUCCUAGGAAAUAGGUGGUUAUGAGGAUGAUACCUGCAGACAAUACUUUUAAUCCCUCAAUUCUUACAGAGAAUUGCACUAUCAACUGCAUUUUCAUUUGUGCCACGCUGCUCAGCUAUAAAAAACGGGGCAAAUCGACCAAAAUAAAUGAAUAAACCACAUGGUUUAGACUGGUGGCAUAUGUAUGUCUGAUGAGUUUAGAAUCCCAACAGACCUCUGUUUGCUUAUCCAACAGGAGGGAAAAAGUUUACUUACUAAAUCAGCUUUGCAUGUCAGGCUGCAAUUGUUAGAGAGUAGAAUUGGGUAAUUUGUGAACAUAAUUGAAUCAAAGUUUUGUCUCAGACUAGUAAUAGAAAAUGGUGAUGCUCCAUAGCUAGAACAACACGUUCCUACACUAGUUUAAAAAAUCCCCUGAAAUUGGGAACAAUGGUCAAGCCCAAACCAUACUUGGAACUUGGAAGGCCGCUGGCGGAUGUCAAAGUCAAAAACAGAAGCAGACAGCGACGUCUCACCAGAUCACGAAUCAGAUGCGAUGCAUAUACAUGUUGCAGGCAUUAGCACGCAUCCCUUAGGAUUAAACAAUUCAGCAAGUAGCUCCCCUGCUGACCAAGAAAAGCAAGCUCUGUCUCGCAGCAAGCUCUUCAAUACGCUCCAGCCCAGCUCUACCAUGGCAUUGGCAAUGCGCGUCAUGAGCUUGCUUCCUGCCACCAUCGCCGUGAUGAUCGCAGCGGCCUCCUGGGGAGCGCACGGCGGUGCCAGCGACGAGGCCAGCGCGCUGCUUGCUUUCAAGGCUGAGCUCGCCGGCAGCGGCUCCGGCAUGCUUGCAUCCUGGAAUGGCACCGCUGGCGUCUGCAGCUGGGAGGGCGUGGCGUGCACCAGCGGCCAGGUGGUGGCACUGAGCCUGCCCUCUUAUGGGUUCGCCGGAGCCCUCUCCCCGGCCAUUGGGAACCUCACUUUCCUGCGGACCCUGAACCUGAGUUCCAACUGGUUCCAGGGGGAGGUCCCAGCAAGCAUCGGCCGCCUAGCGCGUCUGCAGACGCUUGAUCUGAGCUACAAUGCGUUCUCUGGUACGCUUCCUUCCAACCUCAGUUCCUGUGUCAGCUUACUGCUGUUAGAUCUCAGCAGUAACCGGUUCCAUGGGCGUAUCCCUGUUGAGCUUGGAGACAAGCUAACAAGUCUUCAGAAGUUCUCACUGGGCAACAACAGCUUGACGGGUGCCAUGCCAGGAUUACUAGGUAACCUGUCAUCCCUGAACUACCUUGAUCUGAGAAAAAACCACCUCGAGGGUCCGAUCCCACAUGAACUCGGCAGCAUGGGCGGCCUGCAGGUCCUUUUACUCCAUGACAACAGACUCUCCGGUGUGCUUCCACACUCCCUGUACAAUCUGUCCUCACUGAAAAAGUUGGGGGUAGGAGACAACAUGCUGUCUGGAACCAUCCCUGCUGAUAUCGGCGAUAGGUUCCCCGGUAUGGAAGCUCUUGACUUUUCUAGCAACCGAUUCAGUGGAGCUAUCCCACCUUCGCUCGGCAACCUCUCUGCUCUCACAAAACUAGUCCUUCAAGAAAAUGGUUUUAUUGGAUAUGUGCCUUCUGCUUUGGGAAAGUUGCAAAGUCUUACUGCCCUUUUCUUGGGUGUUAACAGGCUAGGAGCAAACGACAGUCAAGGGUGGGAAUUCAUCACUUCACUGGCAAACAGCUCCCAGCUUCAGGUUCUUGUUCUCGGCAACAACUCUUUCAGCGGGCAACUGCCUAAUUCAGUCACAAACCUGUCAUCAACUCUGCAAGGUCUUUAUUUGGGAGACAAUAUGAUUUCUGGGAAUAUUCCAAUAAACAUCGGAAAUUUGGUUGGUCUUACAGUAUUUGUGAUGGGAAAUACUUCUGUAUCUGGACAGAUUCCAGAGAGCAUUGGUCAGCUAAGAAACUUGGGUGUGUUAGGCCUUUACAACACUAGCUUGUCAGGCCUCAUACCUUCGUCACUAGGAAAUCUUACACAGUUGAAUAGGCUUUAUGCAUACUAUGGAAACUUAGAGGGGCCAAUUCCAUCAAACUUGGGGAACUUAAAGAAUGUGUUUGUCUUUGAUCUCUCAACAAAUCGACUCAAUGGUUCAAUUCCUAUAGAGGUUUUAAAACUUCCUCAACUUUCCUGGUACUUAGACUUAUCAUAUAAUUCAUUAUCCGGGCCACUUCCAAUUGAGGUUGGUACCAUGGUGAAUCUUAACGAACUGAUUCUGUCUGGAAACAAGUUGUCAGGCACCAUACCAGCUAGUGUUGGGAACUGUAUAUCGUUGGUACGGCUGCUGCUCGAUAACAACUUAUUAGAAGGAAGCAUACCUCAAUCUCUGAAGAAUAUAAAAGGUCUUGCAUUACUGAACCUAACAAUGAAUAAGCUAUCUGGUAGUAUUCCUGAUGCCCUUGCUAGCAUUGGCCACCUGCAACAACUGUAUCUUGCACACAACAACUUGUCAGGUUCCAUCCCCAAAGUUCUACAGAAUUUGACAUUGUUGGCAAAACUGGAUUUGUCCUUCAAUGAUCUGCAAGGCGAAGUGCCAAAAGGGGGUCCUUUUGCAAAUGCAACUCACUUGUCAAUUGAUGGAAAUGAUGAGCUUUGUGGCGGAAACCCUCAACUUCAUUUAGCUCCGUGCUCCACAGCAGCUGCGGAGAAGAACAGAAGGCGAAUGUCAAGGUCACUUAUGGUCACCGUAGCGUCAAUCUGCGCACUUCUAUUCUUAGGUUUAGUAGUUUGUCUUAUCCAUUUGAUCCACAAGAGGCUCAGACAAGGAAAGGAAAAUCAACUCAUUCCCACAGUAAUUGAUGAACAGCACGAAAGGGUUUCAUAUCAAGCAUUAGCAAAUGGGACUGACCAUUUUUCGCAGGUUAAUCUGCUCGGACAAGGAAGCUAUGGUGCAGUUUAUAAGUGCACUUUACAAGACAAGGGAAUUACCGCAGCUGUAAAGGUAUUCAACGUGUGGCAAUCUGGGUCUACUAGAAGUUUUGUGGCUGAAUGUGAGGCACUGCGAAGGGUGCGCCACCGAUGUCUC